Molecule: long non-coding RNA, 44882 nt
Filed under: Brassica napus (rape)
Lineage: Eukaryota; Viridiplantae; Streptophyta; Magnoliopsida; Brassicales; Brassicaceae
Description: long non-coding RNA (BNAP_LNC018705)
Source: RNAcentral
UGGGAAUAAGAUCUACUUUGCUCUUUUUUUUCGAUUUCUUAUUCUUAUCGUUGUUAUUCUCGUGUUCUGAUUGCUUGACGUGUGGUAAUUAGCAGAUAUCCGGGUCCUCUGGGAAACUAGGGUUUUCUUAGUUUCCUUAUUUAAACGGAAAUCGACAGUGCGAAUUUCGGUUCCCACAAUAUUCGACAUCUUGGGUCCUCUGGGAAAUUAGGAUUUUCCUAGUUUCCUUAUUUAAACGGAAAUCGACAGUGCAAAUUUUGGUUCCCACAGUUUGGCGCUAGAAGGAGGGGGGAUACGGAUCAAUCUAACCCGCAAAGUCACUCAACGAUCAGAAACGAUAUGCAAGACUCGACGUGCGCGAACGUCAUCUCAUUCAAGGGGGGAGCAACGAUAGAUCGGGCCAAACCUCGAAACGAUCUCCUUGUCAUCGAGUUGACGAUUCGAGAUAUCGACGUCGCUAGGGUGCUGAUCGACACCGGUAGUUCGGCCGAUAUCAUCUUCAAAGAUACUCUCGAAAAAAUGGGGAUCAAUCAAUCCGAAGACACGAAAUACCCAAUCCUACUGCUGGGACUUUUGGGGGAAACAACCAUGGCCUACGGAUCGAUUAAUCUCGCUGUCAAAGCCGGAACCGUGACGAACGUCACAGAGUUUCUAGUCGUUGACCGUCCCGCAUCUUACAACUUUAUCAUGGGGACGCCAUGGCUGAACGCCAUGCGCGCAAUCCCAUCAACAUACCAUCUUUGCCUCAAGUUCCCGACCCCUAACGGAGUCGAGGUAAUAUGGGGAAAUCCGAGAGUCUCACAGGUUUGUUUCGCCGCCGAACUGAAACGAAAAAGACCGAUCCUUGAGAUCACUCCUAGAAAAGUGGAGGACAAGACCUCCAGCAAAGAUACACGAGGUCAGGAUUCAGCGGAACUCUUCUGGCAAUCUCGCAGCAUCGCAACCCUAGAAGAAAAACGCGAGCCAACAUGCGAACCCGUGGUAACGAUCUGUCUCGACGAAGCCUUCCCGGAACGCUGCGUCGAGAUUGGAGUCAAUCUCCGCGAGCCUUUAAGAACAGAGCUCAUAGCCUGUCUUAAAAAGAACCUCAAUACUUCCGCAUGGGCUGCAGAAGAUUUGUCGGGGAUCGACAUUAACAUAACAUGUCACGAGCUGAAUAUCGACCCAACAUUCAAACCCAUCAAGCAGAAAAGGCGGAAGCUAGGACCCGAACGUGCUGCCGCAGUAAACGAUGAGGUCGAAAAAUUGCUUAAAGUUGGGUCGAUAACAGAAGUAAGAUACCCAGACUGGCUUGCCAACCCUGUAGUAGUCAAAAAGAAAAACGGGAAGUGGCGAGUUUGCGUGGAUUUUACCGACCUAAACAAAGCAUGUCCAAAGGAUAGCUUCCCUCUACCACAUAUCGAUCGAUUGGUAGAGGCAACAGCGGGCAACAAACUUUUAUCCUUCAUGGAUGCCUUCUCAGGUUAUAAUCAAAUUAGGAUGAAUCCUGACGAUCGCGAGAAGACUGCGUUCAUUACCGAUCGCAGAACUUAUUGCUAUAAGGUAAUGCCCUUCGGCCUCAAAAACGCCGGUGCAACUUACCAACGACUCGUAAACCGAAUGUUCUCUAAACAACUCGGAAAAACGAUGGAGGUUUAUAUCGACGACAUGCUCGUCAAAUCCCUCAAAGCAAAAGAUUACGUGUCACAUCUCGAAGAGUGUUUUGCGCAAUUAAAUUCCCAUAACAUGAAGCUCAACCCGACAAAAUGUAGAUUCGCCGUAGCGUCAGGGGAAUUCCUCGGCUAGCGGAAACCGACCUCGGAGCUAGUAUAUAAGGAGUCCUAGGCGAGGAGCAUGAGGGAGAACUUUUUCAGAGCAAACUUAGCACUUAGAGCAAUUUAGGAAAUUUUCCGGUUUUGUUAUUUCGAGCUGCGACUCAAUUAGGUUUAGCCGUCUUAGGGUUACUAGAACUAGGAAUCUCGCCGACAGCUCUCGAGCGCAGGCUUAUACCUUGUUGUAAACGCUCAUACGCAAAUUAGGAAUAAGAUCUUCUUUGCUCUCUUUUCGAUUUAUUAUACUUUAUCGUUGUUGUUCUCGUGUUCUGAUUGCUUGACGUGUGGUAAUUAGCAGAUAUCCGGGUCCUCUGGGAAAUUAGGGUUUUCCUAGUUUCCUUAUUUAAACGGAAAUCGACAGUGCGAAUUUUGGUUCCCACAAACGGACUGAAGAAACGCUUAGAGGCCAAAAAAGGCAGGAGGGCCGACGAACUCGAGGGAGUCCUCUGGUCUCACCGUACCACCCCAAGGCGAGCAACGGGAGAAACUCCCUUCGCUCUGGUAUACGGCACGGAAUGCAUGAUUCCCGCAGAAGUAGAGACUCUCAGUCAGACAUGUCAAAUAACGACGCGGAUAACGUGCAAACUUCUCUUAACGGAGGCAGCGGCACCGAUCUCCACACUCCAGUAGCGGACGUAUCCGCGGCCAACGCACAAGCCAACGCCGCGACGCUCGAGGAGUUUAAAAAGAUGUUCGCCACCUAUGAGAAAAUGUCGGAAGAACAGGAUAAACUCGUGAAUACCUUCACCAAACAGGUUGAAACCUUAACGGCAAGGACCCAAGCAAUCCGUCCCCGCGGAACCACCAAAAUCCACGGGAAGAGGCUCGACUUCGCCACCCCACUCGAUAGAACAGGAGUCGCGCGGGAACGACCUUCCGGUCAAAAUCCUAGCGAGAAAUCUCCCAUCGAAAAGGGGAACCCUGAAAGUCUUCCGCCCCCUGCAAAGGACUCGGAGGAUAACGAAGCCGAACACAUUGACCUGGAUCCUAGCGAUGUCUCCAACGACACCGACGAGGAUGUCGACAGACAUCCAAGAAGGACCAGAAGCCGAUCCGCUCGGGAAGGCUCUCCGUUCGAAAAACCAAUGACGGAAGAAGAGGAAAUCGCCUAUUGGAACGAACAAGAGGAGCUGGCUGAAAAGCAAACCGAGCUCACUCGCAGUAAACGCCGACAAGCUCGGAAAUCCACUGACGAGACACUGGAUAUCCGCGAUCUUCGUGACUACAUCACCAAGACUGCGGCAGAAGUGAGAGCCGUAAAGUCUCAAAUCCAUCAUGCUACUAGUGCUGCCCCCGAGAUCGAUUGACUGCUGGAAGGAGCUCGAAAGACCCCCUUUACCAGUCGCAUUUCAGACAUGAGGGUGUCCGAUCCGGGAAAAAUCAAAGUACCGAAGUACGAUGGUACGGCCGAUCCAAAAGCGCACCUUCAGGCUUUCCACAUCGCGAUGGGAAGAGCAAGACUGAAGGACAGCGAAAAAGAUGCCGGCUAUUGCCGCCUGUUCGUCGAAAAUCUUGAAGGAGCAGCGCUCGAAUGGUUCGCACGGCUUCGUCGCAACACCGUCGGGAGUUUUCGACAGCUCGCAUCGGAAUUUCUCAAACAGUACUCUGUAUUCAUAGACAGAGAAACUUCCGAUGUUGACCUCUGGAGUCACUCCCAGAGGGAAGACGAACCCCUCCGCGAGUUUAUCAGUCGGUUCAAGCUGAUAAUGUCCAGGGUCAGCGGGAUAAGCGACAAAGUGGCCAUCGACGCGCUGAGAAAGAUGCUCUGGUACAAGUCGAAAUACAGAAAGUGGAUAACUCUCGACAAACCGCGAACGAUCCAGGACGCCCUCCACAAAGCGACGGACUACAUAAUAGUCGAGGAAGAAACUAAAGUCUUAUCGCAAAAACAUAAGGCGGCAAGACCAUCCUCGAAAGACGUGGAUCCGAAAGGGAAAAAAGAAGAACUCUCGUAACGACAAUUACGUCCAUCACGAGGGGGAAUAUCUUCAAGGGGCGCAUAACUAUGCGAUCAAUUCGGAUCAAGGCCGGACCACGGGCAACACAUGGACUCGCAAUCAAGGGUAUGACGAAAACACCUUCUGCGAGUUCCACCAAUUCCGAGGACACUCCACGACCAACUGCAAAGUCUUGGGAGCAAGACUGGCCGCGAAGCUACUCGCUGGAGAGCUCUCGGAAGUAACUAGCGUCAAGGAUCUCAUCCUCGAUUCUGAUUGUCCUCCAAAGACGGACAGAAAUCGCAAGCUGAAAAAUCCCCUCAACGAACCCAACCUGGGGAUAAACGCGGUAGGAGGCCGGACGACAAGGGGAACGAUAACAAUCGUCGCAGAGUCAAUAUGAUCAUCGGAGGAUCACAAUACCGCCGAUACCGUGUCGGCCAUCAAGGCUUACCAACGGAAGGCAAAGUCGAGUGCAAAUUGGCCUACAUGGUCUCCUCCUCGAGAUGACAAAAAUUGCUCGAUCACCUUCACAAAGGAAGAAGCCGGCGGUAUCGACCAACCUCACUGCGACCCGCUCGUCAUAGAUCUCGUCAUACGAGAUUUAGAAGUCAGAAGGGUACUCGUCGACACAGGAAGUACGGUCAACGUAAUUUUCCGCGACACUCUCAAGCGGAUGAGCAUCGAACUCGGAGAAGUAAUUCCGACGCCAAAACCGUUCAUGGGUUUUUCAGGCGAAGUAUCGAUGACUCUUGGAUCGAUCCAAUUGCCAGUCAUGGCCAAGGAGAUCACGAAAAUCGUCGAGUUCGCGGUAGUCGAUUAUCCCGCUAUCUACAACGUGAUCAUGGGAACCCCAUGGCUCAACGCCAUGCAGGCAGUUCCGUCAACCUACCACCUGGGUCUCAAAUUCCCAACGCCAAGCGGAGUCGCGGCCAUCUGGGGAUGCCAAAAAACGGCAAGCGCACGAAGAUAGACCGAUCUUCGGCCAAAAGCGCCCCAGGAAAAGAUGAAUUAAAAUCGUCUACCGACGCAAACGCAUCGGACGUCGAAGCUCGACACAAGUCCGAAGCCCACGCUACAACUCAACCGGAACAUCCGGAAAAUAGCGUUGACCCAACCACGAUCGACACGGUCAAGGCGGACAUCGCAACAUCUACCGCCGAGUAAGAACACUCGCGACAUGAAACAGAACUACGAGAUGGCUUGAUUCUCGAAAGGGGUACGUAGGCAGCUCGUCAAAAGACGAGUUCAGCUAUCCCCCUCUCUAAAAAGGGGGGGNNNNNNNNNNNNNNNNNNNNNNNNNNNNNNNNNNNNNNNNNNNNNNNNNNNNNNNNNNNNCCCCCAAAAAAAGGGGGGGGGGGGGGAGUGGGUGCGUAUACUUGUAUACUCCCACUUAGAAAAAUCUUCUUUAUUGUAAUCGAGUUUUUAGAAACUUUAAAAACUUUUACUACAAUAUACGUUGUUCUUUUUAUCGAAAACGUUUACGCUUCAGUAAAACACAAAAGAAACUUUCAGGACACGCCUGGAAACAUUAAGACUCUUGUCUGCGGCCUCAUCCGGCCCAAAAAAUCAUCUUUCAAACACGCAUAGAUACACGUAUAAUCCCCGAAACAACUGCGAGACGUCGCAAAAGUUAAAAUUCGAGGAUAAUACUAACAAAUUGUCCGAACGCGACCACCAAAACCUUACACCCCGUUCGUCGAUUGGCCCCGACGAACACGCUAGCCGUCUUAAACAAACGCAAUUCGAUCACUCUUUUGAUCUUCAAAACGUCCAGCACAAGGACAAAAGCGCGCUACAACAAAAACCCGAAAUUUUGGUCUAGCACUUCCAGUUGACUCUGAGAAGAUGCUCGAUUCGUACCAUACAAGUCAUAUAAGCCGAAAACCUAUCGCGGACUUUAAACUGGUGCGAAUCAAGAAGAAAUCGCAACAGGAAAAACGAUAGCCGGCUAGUCACCGCACAAACCUUAACCGAAAGUAAACCUAGGUCUUGCCCUAAACCCAACGCUCUGGUCUCAAACAUCUCAAGGCAUGAUAUUUAAAAGAUACGAGAUCCUAAACCAUGUCUCUCUGUUCGUAUCUCAAUGUUCUCGAAAAUCGUAAAGAUAAGUAAAUUUUUACGAAAAUCACGAACGAACCAACAGAUUGAACGUCUAAUCAGAACUAAAUACGAGACGACAACUCGUAUUUACUUCGACCCUACUCAGGAAAACUCGAAACGAAACAUUCAUCAUAUAAAUAAACCGCGUAAGGCGGUAAGGGUUUCAAAGCCACCAACGGCCAGUCCCGGUAAAUACAAAUACGGCCAUCUAGGCCUAAGCAAAAUCCAAAGGCCACACUCAGCCAUAAACAUAAAAUAGAAAGACGAACAUCUUUCUUUCGAUAUUUACUCCACCGCUCAUAAUCCAAAGUCAAAGUCCCCGGUAAACGAAGCACCGAACACAUCCGCGGGACGAUCCACUUCCUCGCCACCAUUGGGAAACCCGGUCGAAACCUCCUCGGUAUCAGGGGAAACCGGGAUGGAAUCCCAGAACCCUUGAAUCCGCUCGUCGAUCGGAGGGAUAAGCGCCUCAGCGUGGGCACGUUCAUUCAUCCCACUUUUCAUCAAGCUCAUUUCCUCCUCGAACACAUAGUCAUCGGCUCGCGUCCUCUAAAGACUUCCGACCGAACCGCGGCACUCACGGAAAUCAUCCACCGAGGUAAAGGCGUUCUUGAGGUUCCCAUACUCAACCUGGAAUUGAGAGGCACGAGUCUUCAUCACCUCGACGAUUUCUCUUUUGCCUUUCCUUUCCGCCUUACGGACAGCCCGCGCAUGAUCACGAGUAAGUUGCACUUCUCGCUCCAAAAUCUCGCCUUGCACGCGAGCGAGAUCUCGUUCCGCUUUCUCUGCUUUGAAACGAUAGAUCAUAGCCUCCCUAUGACUCGCUUCAAUGGCCGAGCCAAGCAAGUUAAGGCCCUGCGAAAUCAAUUAACGCAUUGUAAGCAGAAAAAGAAAAACCUAGGCAAUCACGAAUAUUUUCGAAAAAAUCAUACCCCGUUGAUGAUUCGGGACCCUUCCGCGAUGACUUUUGGCCUCGCCGACUCUUUCGCAGGUGGAGGAGCAUCAAAACCCGGUGGCAGACCGGCAAAGAAAUCAUCAAAGUCCGGGAUAGGGGCCUCGCUCGAGCCACUCCCAUCGCCAUAAGCUAGGUUCGGAUCCCAUCCUGGAAGCAUAGAGUCAUCCAUCGAAAAUUCUAUGUCGCCAAGGUCGAUAUCUUUUCCCUUCCAAGAGCUCGACUCCGGCACGGCUAUUGGGGCUACAGCAGAACUCUGGUCAUCAGGUUCAGAGUCGCUUCCCGUAUCCGCAACCGAGGCAGGACCAUGGUGCACGAACCUCAGUGCCCUCUGAAUCCUCUUCGGCGUAAAGGAAGUCCAAAAGAAGGGACCAUUCCUAAGAAGAUCCCUCACCUCAAUAAUGUCCUCAGGGAACGGAGCAAGAGGAUUGAUGAAAGGAUGAUCGUUCGGCAACCUUCGGAACAGUGGAAUGCAACUCUCUUCGACAGACGCAGCGUCUAUACGAACAAAGAAGAAAAACCUCUUCCACGAGUUGAAGUUCGAAAUGAACUUCUUAACCACUGACAUAAACUUCCGAGGGACCAGCCUAUGCUUGUCCGUAUCUUUGACGAGUUCAAGCCUCAAAAGCAUUUCAAAAUGAUCGACGGAAAGGGAAAGGCCAUGCUCUCGUAGCUCAGAAUCAGGAUCCCGAUAAGAUGCUGAAUGGCGAGGGGGGUCAACUGGCUUAUCGCAACCGCGAAACGGUCCAAUACUCGGACGAGGAUUUCGGGGAUUGGGAACCAUAAGCGACAACGCACUACGAACGCCUCGUAGCAAGUGAAGUAACCCUCUGGGGGGCUGUUAGCACAUUCUCCGGGGUAGGGAACCCGGAACUCCACAGCAUCCGGGAUAUGGUAGAACGAUUGCAUGAUCGCGAGAAACUCGUCGGUACUCCUGCUCGGAUACUCUUUCUCGACCCCACGAUGGGUCAGGACCGGGAACGACUUCUCUUUGGGAGGAAUCAUCGAACCAUAAUGAGCAACCCACCAUGCCUCAUUCUCGGCGGGAUGUACCGAGUGAGGCACGAACUCCAUCUUUGGAACAAUGAGCUCUUCAUAAGCACUCGCGGACGAAGACCCUUUUUUCGCAAUCUUUUUCUUGCUCGACAUCUUUACACUUCUCUUGAGAAAAUAGAGGAAAAGGGUGGAGAGAAAGAAAGAAAUUUUUUCUUAAGAAAGAUCUUAGAGAAAGACAAGAAAGUGAAAAAAUUAUGAAACAAGUUACCUCCCUUCUUAUAGGCAUGAGGAUUUACUAUUCAAGCUCGGACUUUCGGAUAUUAAUUCCAUCCAACACGCCUAACUUNNNNNNNNNNNNNNNNNNNNNNNNNNNNNNNNNNNNNNNNNNNNNNNNNNNNNNNNNNNNNNNNNNNNNNNNNNNNNNNNNNNNNNNNNNNNNNNNNNNNNNNNNNNNNNNNNNNNNNNNNNNNNNNNNNNNNNNNNNNNNNNNNNNNNNNNNNNNNNNNNNNNNNNNNNNNNNNNNNNNNNNNNNNNNNNNNNNNNNNNNNNNNNNNNNNNNNNNNNNNNNNNNNNNNNNNNNNNNNNNNNNNNNNNNNNNNNNNNNNNNNNNNNNNNNNNNNNNNNNNNNNNNNNNNNNNNNNNNNNNNNNNNNNNNNNNNNNNNNNNNNNNNNNNNNNNNNNNNNNNNNNNNNNNNNNNNNNNNNNNNNNNNNNNNNNNNNNNNNNNNNNNNNNNNNNNNNNNNNNNNNNNNNNNNNNNNNNNNNNNNNNNNNNNNNNNNNNNNNNNNNNNNNNNNNNNNNNNNNNNNNNNNNNNNNNNNNNNNNNNNNNNNNNNNNNNNNNNNNNNNNNNNNNNNNNNNNNNNNNNNNNNNNNNNNNNNNNNNNNNNNNNNNNNNNNNNNNNNNNNNNNNNNNNNNNNNNNNNNNNNNNNNNNNNNNNNNNNNNNNNNNNNNNNNNNNNNNNNNNNNNNNNNNNNNNNNNNNNNNNNNNNNNNNNNNNNNNNNNNNNNNNNNNNNNNNNNNNNNNNNNNNNNNNNNNNNNNNNNNNNNNNNNNNNNNNNNNNNNNNNNNNNNNNNNNNNNNNNNNNNNNAAGUUUCCGCGGAUAAAUACGGAAGUUUUGAAGAUAAUUGUGAAGAUCGGGAAAAAUGGAAUAUCUCCAUUUUUAUGCUAUGACGGCUUAAGGGCAGAAGAGUAAAAGCGUAAACCGACCUCGGAGCUAGUAUAUAAGGAGUCCUAGGCGAGGAGCAUGAGGGAGAACUUUUUCUGAGCAAACUUAGCACUUAGAGCAAUUUAGUCAAUUUUCCGUUUUUGUUAUUUCGAGCUGCGACUCAAUUAGGUUUAGCCGUCUUAGGGUUACUAGCACUAGGAAUCUUGCCGACAGCUCUCGAACCCAGGCUUAUACCUUGUUGUAAACGCUCAUACGCAAAUUCGGAAUAAGAUCUUCUUUGCUCUCUUUUUCGAUUUCUUAUACUUUAUCUUUGUUAUUCUCGUGUUCUGAUUGCUUGACGUGUGGUAAUUAGCAGAUAUCCGGGUCCUCUGGGAAAUUAGGGUUUUCCUAGUUUCCUUAUUUAAACGGAAAUCGACAGUGCGAAUUUUGGUUCCCACAAACGGACUGAAGAAACGCUUAGAGGCCAAAAAAGGCAGGAGGGCCGACGAACUCGAGGGAGUCCUCUGGUCUCACCGUACCACCCCAAGGCGAGCAACGGGAGAAACUCCCUUCGCUCUGGUAUACGGCACGGAAUGCAUGAUUCCCGCAGAAGUAGAGUUCCCCGGUGUUCGAAGAAGGUUAUUACCCGAAUGAGAGAAACUCAACGAUGCUAUGCUCUUGGAUGAUCUCGACCUCAUUAACGAGCGCCGAGAUCGAGCGCUCAUUCGAAUCCAAAAUUACCAGCACGCCGCUGCAAAAUACUAUAAUUCCAACGUACGAAAUCGUUGGUUCAAUCAGGGAGAUCUGGUCCUUUGCAAAGUCUUCCAAAAGACCGCUGAACGAAACGCGGGAAAACUCGGAGCAAACUGGGAAGGUCCCUAUAAAAUCGAAAAAGUCGUCCGACCAGGUUCUUACGAAAUAGCCAACAUGCAAGGCAUAAAAAUUCCUAGAACCUGGAUUGCGAUGCAUCUCAAAAAAUACUAUCACUAAACAAACCAACUCGCAAUCACUGAACUACGAGACGGCUUGAUCUCCGCAAGGAGUACGUAGGCAGUUUGCCGAAAGGCAAAUUCAGCUGUCCCCCCUCAUUAAAAAGGGGGGGAGUGGGUACUUAUACUCGUAUACUCCCAAAAUCGAAAAAACUUCUUACCACGCUCUUGGUGUUUUCGACUUAUCAAAACCUCCUCACCCGUAAAAUCAGUGCGAGGUCUUCGGAUAUUAGUCGGCCGUUUAGGAGAAGCAACCUUUAGCAUCGCGAGACGUCGCAAAAGAUGCCUUAAAGGUUAUUUCUUUCGAACAAACAAAACUUCCGUCACAAAAGAAACAUAUAUAUGCACACAUUAGCACCCAUUUUGCGCAAAAAUUCGAAACAACGGCACACGCCACCAAGUCCGAUGCUGAUCACAUCGAACUCGCAAAACGUCCUAAACAGACGUAGCCAUCUCACGAAGAUGACUCUCUUACAUCCGACACAAGGAUAAUAGCGCUAUAAAAGAAAUCCGAAAUUUUGGUCUAGCACUUCCGGUCUCCGGAGAGAUGCUCGAUUCGUAUCAAACAAGUCAUAUAAGCCGAGAACCUAUCGCGGACUUUAAAUCGAUACGAAUCAGGAAGAAAUCGUAACAGGAAAAAUGAUAGCCGGCCAGUCACCGCACAAUCCUUAAACCGAAAGUAAACCUAGGUCUUGAAUACGAAUCAGGAAGAAAUCGCAACAGGAAAACGAUAGCCGGCUAGUCACCGCACAAUCCUUAAACCGAAAGUACACCUAGGUCUUGCCCUAAACCCAGCGCACUGGUCUCUAACAUCUCAAGGCAUCUAACAUCUCAAGGCAUGAUAUCGAAAGAUAAGAGAUUCCUAAACCAUGCCUCUAUGUUUAUAUUUGUUGGGGUCAAAAACGGUUACGACGGAAUUACCACCCGAAAAUCCUCGGAGAUCGUAUUUCCGAAAGAGUUAGUAGAAGAAGGGAUGUAAUUUCCGUAAAAAUAACUUAUACGAGAUUUUUACGAAGAAGUGUCCUUUGGGAUUCAAACCGAACGAUCGUCCCGCUCGGUCGCUACGUAGCGACCGAGCUCGAGCCAAAGCUCGGUCGCUACGUAACGACCGAGCUCAAGCCAAAGCUCGGUCGCUACGUAGCAUCGUCCCGCUCGGUCGCUACGUAGCGACCGAGCUCGAGCCAAAGCUCAGUCGCUACGUAGCGACCGAGCGAUCGUCCCGCUCGGUCGCUACGUAGCGACCGAGCUCGAGCCAAAGCUCAGUCGCUACGUAGCGACCGAGCGAUCGUCCCGCUCGGUCGCUACGUAGCGACCGGGCACUCGUUUCACUCGGUCGCUACAUAACGACCGGGCUCGAGCCAAAGUUCGGUCGCUGUGUAGCGAUUGAACCUUUCCGAACAUCGAUAUGACGCCAGUCCUUGCAUCCUCGUCAAACCUUCAAAUGAUAUCUCCCGAAGACCGUAGCAAGCUCAGUCCAUGUUUCCCGCUAUUCUAAUUCAUCGAUCAAACUUCGCGGAUUAGAAACCGCGGAAAACUCGUAGUAAACGUGUCGAGUCGGAAGACGGCCCAAAGGGACCUAAAACACGACUCGAGGCCCAUCCUACGAUUUUUCCUAACCAAAAGCCCGUGAACCACAGCAUGGUUCACACUUGGCCCACAAGGAAGGAUAAAUGUCAAGUUUCCGCGGAUAAAUACGGAAGUUUUGAAGAUAAUUGUGAAGAUCGGGAAAAAUGGAAUAUCUCCAUUUUUAUGCUAUGACGGCUUAAGGGCAGAAGAGUAAAAGCGUAAACCGACCUUGGAGCUAGUAUAUAAGGAGUCCUAGGCGAGGAGCAUGGGAGAGAGCUUUUUAGACUCGGAAUUAUAAACCAACCUUGGAGCUAGUAUAUAAGGAGUCCUAGGCGAGGAGCAAGGGAAGAACUUUUUUCAGAGCAAACUUAGCACUUAGAGCGAUUUAGGCAACUUUCCGUUUUUGUUAUUUCGAGCUGCGACUCAAUUAGGUUUAGCCGUCUUAGGGUUGCUAGAACUAGGAAUCUCGCCGACAGCUCUCGAGCCCAGGCUUAUACCUUGUUGUAACGCUCAUACGCAGAUUCGGAAUAAGAUCUACUUUGCUCUCUUUUCGAUUUCUUAUUUUUAUCGUUGUUAUUCUCGUGUUCUGAUUGCUUGACGUGUGGUAAUUAACAGAUAUCCGGGUCCUCUGGGAAACUAGGGUUUUCUUAGUUUCCUUAUUUAAAUGGAAAUCGACAGUGCGAAUUUCGGUUCCCACAGUGGUAAUUAACAGAUAUCCGGGUCCUCUGGGAAACUAGGGUUUUCUUAGUUUCCUUAUUUAAACGGAAAUCGACAGUGCGAAUUUCGGUUCCCACAGUUUGGCGCUAGAAGGAGGGGGACUUACGGAUCAAUCUAACCCGCAAAAGCCACACACAGUCAGACAUGUCAACCAACGACGCGGAAAACGUGCAAACUCCCCUUAACGGAGGCAGCGGCACCGAUCUCCACACUCCGGUAGCGGAUGUACCUGCGGCCAACGCGCAAGCCAACGUCGCGACUCUCGAGGAGUUUAAAAAGAUGUUCGCCACCCAUGAAAAAAGGUCGGAAGAACAGGAUAAGCUCGUGAAUACCUUGACCAAACAGGUUGAAACCUUAACGGCAAGGACCCAAGCUAUCCGUCCCCGCGGAACCACCAAAAUCCGCGGGAAGAGGCUCGAUUUCGCCACCCCACUCGAUAGGACAGGAGUCGCGCGGGAACGACCUUCCGGUCAAAACCCCAGCGGAAAGUCUCCCAUCGAGAAGGGGAACUCUGAAAGUCUUCCGCUCCCUGCAAAGGACUCGGAGGAUAACGAAGCCGAACACAUUGACCUGGAUCCUAGCGAUGUCUCCAACGACAGCGACGAGGAUGGCGACAGACAUCCAAGAAGGACCAGAAGCCGAUCCGCUCGGGAAGGCUCCCCGUUCGAAAAACCAAUGACAGAAGAAGAAGAAGUCGCCUAUUGGAACGAACAAGAGGAGCUGGCCGAAAGGCAAACCGAGCUCACUCGCAGUAAGCGCCGACAGGCUCGGAAAUCCUCUGACGAGACAUCGGAUAUCCGCGAUCUUCGCGACUACAUCACCAAGACUACGGCAGAAGUGAGAGCCGUAAAGUCUCAAAUCCAUCAUGCUACUAGUGCUGCCCCCGAGAUCGAUCGACUGCUGGAAGGAGCUCGAAAGACCCCCUUUACCAAUCGCAUUUCGGACAUGAGGGUGUCCGAUCCGGGAAAGAUCAAAGUACCGAAGUACGAUGGUACGGCCGAUCCGAAAGCGCACCUUCAGGCUUUCCACAUCGCGAUGGGAAGAGCAAGACUGAAGGACGGCGAAAAGGAUGCCGGCUAUUGCCGCCUGUUCGUCGAAAAUCUUGAAGGAGCAGCGCUCGAAUGGUUCGCACGCCUUCGUCGCAACACCAUCGGGAGUUUUCGACAGCUCGCAUCGGAAUUCCUCAAACAGUACUCUGUAUUCAUAGACAGGGAAACCUCCGAUGUUGAUCUCUGGAGUCUCUCCCAGAGGGAAGACGAACCCCUCCGCGAAUUUAUCAGCCGGUUCAAACUGAUAAUGUCCAGGGUCAGCGGGAUAAGCGACAAAGUGGCCAUCGACGCGCUGAGAAAGACGCUCUGGUACAAGUCGAAAUUCAGAAAAUGGAUAACUCUCGACAAACCGCGAACGAUCCAGGACGCCCUCCACAAAGCAACAGACUAUAUCAUAGUGGAGGAAGAAACUAAAGUCUUAUCGCAAAAACAUAAGCCGGCAAGACCAUCCUCGAAAGACGCAGAUCCGAAGGGGAAAAAGAAGAACUCUCGUAACGACAAGUACGUCCAUCACGAGGGGGAAGAUCUCCAAGGGGCGCAUAACUAUGCGAUCAGUUCGGAUCAAGGCCGGACCACGGGCAACACAUGGACUCGCAAUCAAGGGUAUGACGAGAACACCUUCUGCGAGUUCCACCAAUCCCGAGGACACUCCACGACUAAUUGCAAAGUCUUAGGAGCAAGACUGGCCGCGAAGCUGCUUGCUGGAGAGCUUUCGGAAGUAACUAGCGUCAAGGAUCUCAUCCUCGAUUCUGAUCGGCCUCCAAAGACGGACAGAAAUCCGCCCGCCGAAAAAUCUCCUCAACGAAACCAACCUGGGGAUAAACGCGGUAGGAGGCCGGAUGACAAAGGGAACAAUAACAAUCGUCGCAGAGUCAAUAUGAUCAUCGGAGGAUCUCAAUACUGCGGCGAUACCGUGUCAGCCAUCAAGGCUUACCAACGGAAGGCAGAAUCAAGCGCAAAUUGGCCUACAUGGUCUCCUCCUCGAGACGGCCAAAAUUGCUCGAUCACCUUCACGGAAGAAGAAGCCGGCGGUAUCGACCAACCUCACUGCGACCCGCUCGUCAUAGAUCUCGUUAUACGAGAUUUAGAAGUCGGAAGGGUACUCGUCGAUACGGGAAGCACGGUCAACGUAAUCUUCCGCGACACUCUCAAUCGGAUGAGUAUCGAACUCGGAGAGGUAAUUCCGACGCCAAAACCACUCACGGGUUUUUCAGGCGAAGUGUCGAUGACUCUCGGAUCAAUCCAAUUGCCAGUCAUGGCCAAGGAGAUCACGAAAAUCGUCGAAUUCGCGGUAGUCGACCAUCCCGCUAUCUACAACGUGAUCAUGGGAACCCCAUGGCUCAACGCCAUGCAGGCAGUUCCGUCAACUUACCACCUGGGUCUCAAGUUCCCAACGCCGAGCGGAGUCGCGGCCAUUUGGGGAUGCCAAAAACAGUCGCGACUAUGCUUCCUCGCGGAGCAUAAGUUAAGGCAAAUCACGGCGUCUGCAAACGGCAAACCCGCGAAGAUAGAUCGAUCUUCGGCCAAAAGCGCCCCGCACAAGGACGAAGUAAAAUCGUCUGUCAACGCAAACGCAUCGGACGUCGAAGCUCGACAUAAAUCCGAAGCCCACGCGACAACUCAACCGGAACAUCCGGAAAAUAGCGUCGACCCAGCCACGAUCGACACGGUCAAGGCGGACAUCGCGACACCAACCGCCGAGUAAGAACACUCGCGGCAUGAAACAGAACUACGAGAUGGCUUGAUCCUCGAAAGGGGUACGUAGGCAGCUUGUCAAAAGACGAGUUCAGCUAUCCCCCUCUCUAAAAAGGGGGGGGGAGUGGGUGCGUAUACUCGUAUACUCCCACAAUCGCCAUUAUUGUAAUCGAGUUUUUAGAAACAUAAAAAUUUUUACAAUAUACACUGUCUUUUUAUCGAAAACGCUUACGCUUCAGUUUACGCUCGUCUGCGGCCUCAUCCGGCCCAAAAAUCGUAAAGAUUAUCACCUUUCAAACACGCAUAAUCCUCGAAAAUAACUGCGAGACGUCGCAAAAAGUUAAAACUCGAGGACAAUGCUAAACAAAUUGUCCGAACGCGACCACCAAAAACCUUACACCCCGUUCGUCGAUUGGCCCCGACGAACACGCCAGCCGUCUUAAACAAACGCAAUCCGAUCACUCUUUUGAUCUUUAAAAACGUCCAGCACAAGGACAAAAGCGCGCUACAACAAAAAUCCGAAAUUUUGGUUUAGCACUUCCAGUUGAUUCUGAGAAGAUGCUCGAUUCGUACCAUACAAGUCAUAUAAGCCGAGAACAUAUCGCGGACUUUAAACCGGUGCGAGUCAGGAAGAAAUCGCAACAGGAAAAACGAUAGCCGGCUAGUCACCGCACAAACCUUAACCGAAAGUAAACCUAGGUCUUGCCCUAAACCCAACGCUCUGGUCUCAAACAUCUCAAGGCAUGAUAUCUAAAAGAUACGAGAUCAUAAACCAUGCCUCUCCGUUCGUAUCUCAAUGUUCUCGAAAAUCGUAAAGACAGAUAAAUUUUUACGAAAAUCACGAACGAACCAACAGAUUGAACGUCUAAUUAGAACUACAUACGAGACGACAACUCGUAUUUACUUCAACCCUACUCAGGAAAAACUCGAAACGAAACAUUUAUCAUAUAAAUAAACCGCGUAAAGCGGCAAGGGAUUCAAAGCCACCAACGGCCAGUCCCCGAAAUACAAAUACGGCCAUCUUGGCCUAAACGAAAUCCAAAUCCAAAGGGCCAUAUUCGGCCGAAAACAAGGAUAACUGAUCCAUCCCUCAUAAUCCAAAGUCGAAGUCCCCGGACAACGAAGCACCAAACGCAUCCGCAGGACGAUCCACUUCCUCGCCACCGUCGUGAAAAUCGAUCGGGACCUCCUCGGUAUCAGGAGAAACCGGGAUGGAAUCCCAGAACCCUUGAAUCCUCUCGUCGAUCGGAGGGAUAAGCGCCUCAGCGUGGGCACGGUCACUCAUCCCACUCUUCAUCAAGCUCAUUUCCUCUUCAAACACAUAGUCGUCGGCUUGCGUCCUCCAAAGACUUCCGACCGAACCACGGCAUUCGCGAAAGUCGCCCACCGAGGUAAAGGCAUUCUUAAGGUUCCCGUACUCAACCUGGAACUGAGAUGCGCGAGUCUUCAUCACCUCGACGAUCUCUCUUUUGCCUUUCCUCUCCGCUCUGCGAACAGCCCGCGCAUGAUCACGAGUAAGCUGUGCCUCUCGCUCCAGCAUCUCGCCUUGCACGCGGGCGAGAUCCCGCUCCGCUUUCUCCGCCUUGAAGCGGUAGACCAUGGCUUCUCUAUGACCCGCCUCGAUGGCCGAGCCCAGCAAGCUCAGGCCCUGCAAAAUCAAUGGGCGUGUUACAAAUCCAUACAUAGGAUAAUCACUAAAAAAUUCCCAAAAAAAAACUAACCCCAUUGAUGAUGCGAGAUCCUUCCGCAACGACUCUCGGCCUCGCCGAUUCUUUCGUAGGAGGAGGAGCAUCGAAACCCGAUGGCAGCCCAGCAAAGAAAUCAUCGAAGUCCGGAAUGGGGGCCUCGCUCGAACCGCUUCCGUCGCCGUAAGCAAGGUUCGGAUCCCAUCCUGGAAGCAUAGAGUCAUCCAUCGAAAACUCUAUGUCGCCAAGAUCGACAUCUUUUCCCUUCCAAGAGCUCGACUCCGGCGCAGCUGUCGGAGCUUCAACGGGACUCUGGUCGUCGGGUUCGGAGUCGCUUCCCGUAUCCGCGUCCAAAGCUGGACCAGGUUGCACAAAUUUCAGUGCCUUCCGAACCCUUCUCGGCGUGAAAGAAGUCCAGAAGAAGGGACCAUUCCUGAGAAGAUCCCUCACCGCGAUAAUGUCCUCAGGGAACGGAGCAAGAGGAUUGAUGAAGGGACGAUUGUUCGGCAACCUCCGGAACAGUGGAAUGCAACUCUCUUCGACGGACGCAGCGUCCAAACGAACAAAGAAAAAGAACUUCUUCCACGAGUUGAAGUUCGAAAUGAACUUCUUAACCACCGACAUAAAUUUCCGAGGGACAAACCUAUGCUUAUCCGUAUCCUUGACAAGUUGAAGCCUCAAAAGGGCUUCAUAAUGAUCGACGGAAAGGGAAAGGCCAUGCUCAUAGCUUAGGAUCAAGAUCCCAAUAAGGUGCUGAAUGGCAAGGGGUGUCAACUGACUUAUCGCGACUUCGAAGCGGUCCAACACUCGGACGAGAAUUUCGGGUAUGGGGAACCAGAGGCGACAACGCACUAUGAACGCCUCAUAACAAGUAAAGUAACCCUCCGGGGGGUUGUUAGCACAUUCCCCGCGGCAGGGAACCCGGAACUCCACAACAUCCGGGAUGCGGUAGAACGACCGCAUCGUCGCGAGAAACUCGUCAGUAGUCCUGCUUGCGUCCUUUCCCUCGACUCCACGAUGGACCAGGACCGGGAAUGGCUUCUCCUUGGGAGGGAUCAACGAGCCGUAAUGAGCAACCCACCAUGCCUCGUUCUCGGCAGGAUGCACCGAGUGAGGCACGAACUCCAUCUUCGGAACGACGAGCUCUUCGUAAGGACUCGCGGACGAAGACCCUUUUCUCGCAAUCUUUUUCUUGCUCGACAUCUUUACACUUCUCUUAAGAGAAUAGAGGAAAAGGGUUGAGAGAAAGAUAGAAAGUUUUUUGAAAGAUCUUAGAGAAAAACAAGAAAGUGAAAAAAUUAUGGAACAAGUUACCUCACUUCUUAUAAGACAUGAGGAUUUACUAUUCAAGCUCGGACUUUCGCAUAUUAAUUCCAUCCAUCACGCCUAACUUGCCAAACAUGCCUAACCGCACGCUAGGAUCCCCCCAUGCAUGAUCCUAACGGGCUGGGGGGCUAACUGUUGGGGUCAAAAACGGUUACGACGGAAUUACCACCCGAAAAUCCUCAGAGAUCCGAUCGUCCCGCUCGGUCGAGCUUGGCCGAGCUCGGUUGUUGGGGUCAAAAACGGUUACGACGGAAUUACCACCCGAAAAUCCUCAGAGAUCGUAUUUCCGAAAGAGUUAGUAAAAGAAGGGAUGUAAUUUUCGUAAAAAUAACCUAUACGAGGUUAUUUCUACGAAGAAGUAUUCUUUGGGAUUCAAACCGAACGAUCAACCCGCUCGGUCGCUACGUAGCAACCGAGCUCGGGCCAAAGCUCGGUCGCUACGUAGCGACCGAGCGGGAUGAUCACUCGGUCGCUACGUAGCGACCGAGCUUUGGCCCGAGCUCGGUUGCUACGUAGCGACCGAGCGGGUUGAUCGUUCGGUUUGAAUCCCAAAGAAUACUUCUUCGUAGAAAUAACCUCGUAUAGGUUAUUUUUACGAAAAUUACAUCCCUUCUUUUACUAACUCUUUCGGAAAUACGAUCUCUGAGGAUUUUCGGGUGGUAAUUCCGUCGUAACCGUUUUUGACCCCAACAAUUAGCCCCCCAGCCCGUUAGGAUCAUGCAUGGGGGGAUCCUAGCGUGCGGUUAGGCAUGUUUGGCAAGUUAGGCGUGAUGGAUGGAAUUAAUAUGCGAAAGUCCGAGCUUGAAUAGUAAAUCCUCAUGUCUUAUAAGAAGAGAGGUAACUUGUUCCAUAAUUUUUUCACUUUCUUGUUUUUCUCUAAGAUCUUUCAAAAAAAAAAAACUUUCUAUCUUUCUCUCCACCCUUUUCCUCUAUUCUCUUAAGAGAAGUGUAAAGAUGUCGAGCAAGAAAAAGAUUGCGAAAAAAGGGUCUUCGUCCGCGAGUCCUUACGAAGACCUCGUCGUUCCGAAGAUGGAGUUCGUGCCUCACUCGGUGCAUCCUGCCGAGAACGAGGCAUGGUGGGUUGCUCAUUACGGCUCGUUGAUCCCUCCCAAGGAGAAGCCAUUCCCGGUCCUGGUCCAUCGUGGAGUCGAGGGAAAGGACGCAAGUAGGACCACUGACGAGUUUUGUCGCGACGAUGCGGUCGUUCUACCGCAUCCCGGAUGUUGUGGAGUUCCGGGUUCCCUGCCGCGGGGAAUGUGCUAACAACCCCCCGGAGGGUUACUUUACUUGUUAUGAGGUGUUCAUAGUGCGUUGUCGCCUCUGGUUCCCCAUACCCGAAAUUCUCGUCCGAGUGUUGGACCGUUUCGAAGUCGCGAUAAGUCAGUUGACACCCCUUGCCAUUCAGCACCUUAUUGGGAUCUUGAUCCUAAGCUAUGAGCAUGGCCUUUCCCUUUCCGUCGAUCAUUAUGAAGCGCUUUUGAGGCUUCAACUUGUCAAGGAUACGGAUAAGCAUAGGUUUGUCCCUCGGAAAUUUAUGUCGGUGGUUAAGAAGUUCAUUUCGAACUUCAACUCGUGGAAGAAGUUCUUUUUCUUUGUUCGUUUGGACGCUGCGUCCGUCGAAGAGAGUUGCAUUCCACUGUUCCGGAGGUUGCCGAACAAUCGUCCCUUCAUCAAUCCUCUUGCUCCGUUCCCUGAGGACAUUAUCGCGGUGAGGGAUCUUCUCAGGAAUGGUCCCUUCUUCUGGACUUCUUUCACGCCGAGAAGGGUUCGGAAGGCACUGAAAUUUGUGCAACCUGGUCCAGCUUUGGACGCGGAUACGGGAAGCGACUCCGAACCCGACGGCCAGAGUCCCGUUGAAGCUCCGACAGCCGCGCCAGAGUCGAGCUCUUGGAAGGGAAAAGAUGUCGAUCUCGGCGACAUAGAGUUUUCGAUGGAUGACUCUAUGCUUCUAGGAUGGGAUCCGAACCUUGCUUACGGCGACGGAAGCGGUUCGAGCGAGGCCCCCAUUCCGGACUUCGAUGAUUUCUUUGCUGGGCUGCCAUCGGGUUUCGAUGCUCCUCCUUCUACGAAAGAAUCGGCGAGGCCGAGAGUCGUUGCGGAAGGAUCUCGCAUCAUCAAUGGGGUUAGUUUUUUUUGGGAAUUUUUUAGUGAUUAUCCUAUGUAUGGAUUUGUAACACGCCUAUUGAUUUUGCAGGGCCUGAGCUUGCUGGGCUCGGCCAUCGAGGCGGGUCAUAGAGAAGCCAUGGUCUACCGCUUCAAGGCGGAGAAAGCGGAGCGGGAUCUCGCCCGCGUGCAAGGCGAGAUGCUGGAGCGAGAGGCACAGCUUACUCGUGAUCAUGCGCGGGCUGUUCGCAGAUCGGAGAGGAAAGGCAAAAGAGAGAUCGUCGAGGUGAUGAAGACUCGCGCAUCUCAGUUCCAGGUUGAGUACGGGAAUCUUAAGAAUGCCUUUACCUCGGUGGGUGACUUUCGCGAGUGCCGUGGUUCGGUCGGAAGUCUUUGGAGGACGCAAGCCGACGACUAUGUGUUUGAAGAGGAAAUGAGCUUGAUGAAGAGUGGGAUGAGUGACCGUGCCCACGCUGAGGCGCUUAUCCCUCCGAUCGACGAGAGGAUUCAAGGGUUCUGGGAUUCCAUCCCGGUUUCUCCUGAUACCGAGGAGGUCCCGAUCGAUUUUCACGGCGGUGGCGAGGAAGUGGAUCGUCCCGCGGAUGCGUUUGGUGCUUCGUUGUCCGCGGACUUCGACUUUGGAUUAUGAGGGAUGGAUUAGUUAUCCUUGUUUUCGGCCGAAUAUGGCCCUUUGAAUUUGGAUUUCGUUUAGGUCAAGAUGGCCGUAUUUGUAUUUCGGGGACUGGCCGUUGGUGGCUUUGAAUCCCUUGCCGCUUUAUGCGGUUUAUUUAUAUGAUAAAUGUUUCGUUUCGAGUUUUUCCUGAGUAGGGUUGAAGUAAAUACGAGUUGUCGUCUCGUAUGUAGUUCUAAUUAGACGUUCAAUCUGUUGGUUCGUUCGUGAUUUUCGUAAAAUUUAUCUGUCUUUACGAUUCUGAGAACAUUGAGACACGAACGGAGAGGCAUGGUUUAUGAUCUCGUAUCUUUUAGAUAUCAUGCCUUGAGAUGUUUGAGACCAGAGCGUUGGGUUUAGGGCAAGACCUAGGUUUACUUUCGGUUAAGGUUUGUGCGGUGACUAGCCGGCUAUCGUUUUUCCUGUUGCGAUUUCUUCCUGACUCGCACCGAUUUAAAGUCCGCGAUAUGUUCUCGGCUUAUAUGACUUGUAUGGUACGAAUCGAGCAUCUUCUCAGAAUCAACUGGAAGUGCUAAACCAAAAUUUCGGAUUUUUGUUGUAGCGCGCUUUUGUCCUUGUGCUGGACGUUUUUAAAGAUCAAAAGAGUGAUCGGAUUGCGUUUGUUUAAGACGGCUGGCGUGUUCGUCGGGGCCAAUCGACGAACGGGGUGUAAGGUUUUUGGUGGUCGCGUUCGGACAAUUUGUUUAGCAUUGUCCUCGAAUUUUAACUUUUUGCGACGUCUUGCAGUUAUUUUCGAGGAUUAUGCGUGUUUGAAAGGUGAUAAUCUUUACGAUUUUUGGGCCGGAUGAGGCCGCAGACGAGCGUAAACUGAAGCGUAAGCGUUUUCGAUAAAAAGACAGUGUAUAUUGUAAAAAAAAUUUAUGUUUCUAAAAACUCGAUUACAAUAAUGGCGAUUGUGGGAGUAUACGAGUAUACGCACCCACUCCCCCCCCCUUUUUAGAGAGGGGGAUAGCUGAACUCGUCUUUUGACGAGCUGCCUACGUACCCCUUUCGAGGAUCAAGCCAUCUCGUAGUUCUGUUUCAUGCCGCGAGUGUUCUUACUCGGCGGUUGGUGUCGCGAUGUCCGCCUUGACCGUGUCGAUCGUGGCUGGGUCGACGCUAUUUUCCGGAUGUUCCGGUUGAGUUGUCGCGUGGGCUUCGGAUUUAUGUCGAGCUUCGACGUCCGAUGCAUUUGCGUUGACAGACGAUUUUACUUCGUCCUUGUGCGGGGCGCUUUUGGCCGAAGAUCGAUCUAUCUUCGCGCGUUUGCCGUUUGCAGAAGCCGUGAUUUGCCUUAACUUAUGCUCCGCGAGGAAGCAUAGUCGCGACUGUUUUUGGCAUCCCCAGAUGGCCGCGACUCCGCUCGGCGUUGGGAACUUGAGACCCAGGUGGUAAGUUGACGGAACAGCCUGCAUGGCGUUGAGCCAUGGGGUUCCCAUGAUAACGUUGUAGAUAGCGGGAUGGUCGACUACCGCGAAUUCGACGAUUUUCGUGAUCUCCUUGGCCAUGACUGGCAAUUGGAUUGACCCGAGAGUCAUCGAUACUUCGCCUGAAAAACCCGUGAGUGGUUUUGGCGUCGGAAUUACCUCUCCGAGUUCGAUACUCAUCCGAUUGAGAGUGUCGCGGAAGAUUACGUUGACCGUGCUUCCCGUAUCGACGAGUACCCUUCCGACUUCUAAAUCUCGUAUGACGAGAUCUAUGACGAGCGGGUCGCAGUGAGGUUGGUCGAUACCGCCGGCUUCUUCUUCCGUGAAGGUGAUCGAGCAAUUUUGGCCGUCUCGAGGAGGAGACCAUGUAGGCCAUUUUGCGCUUGAUUCUGCCUUCCGUUGGUAAGCCUUGAUGGCUGACACGGUAUCGCCGCAGUAUUGAGAUCCUCCGAUGAUCAUAUUGACUCUGCGACGAUUGUUAUCGUUCCCUUUGUCAUCCGGCCUCCUACCGCGUUUAUCCUCAGGUUGGUUUCGUUGAGGAGAUUUUUCGGCGGGCGGAUUUCUGUCCGUCUUUGGAGGCCGAUCAGAAUCGAGGAUGAGAUCCUUGACGCUAGUUACUUCCGAAAGUUCUCCAGCGAGCAGCUUCGCGGCCAGUCUUGCUCCCAAGACUUUGCAAUUGGUCGUGGAGUGUCCUCGGGAUUGGUGGAACUCGCAGAAGGUGUUUUCGUCAUACCCUUGAUUGCGAGUCCAUGUGUUGCCCGUGGUCCGGCCUUGAUCCGAACUGAUCGCAUAGUUAUGCGCCCCUUGGAGAUCUUCCCCCUCGUGAUGGACGUACUUGUCGUUACGAGAGUUCUUCUUUUUCCCCUUCGGAUCUGCGUCUUUCGAGGAUGGUCUUGCCGGCUUAUGUUUUUGCGAUAAGACUUUAGUUUCUUCCUCCACUAUGAUAUACUCCGUUGCUUUGUGGAGGGCAUCCUGGAUCCUUCGCGGUUUGUCGAGAGUUAUCCAUUUUCUGAAUUUCGACUUGUACCAGAGCGUCUUUCUCAGCGCGUCAAUGGCCACUUUGUCGCUUAUCCCGCUGACCCUGGACAUUACCAGUUUGAACCGACUGAUAAACUCGCGGAGGGGUUCGUCUUCCCUCUGGGAGAGACUCCAGAGAUCAACAUCGGAGGUUUCCCUGUCUAUGAAUACAGAGUACUGUUUGAGGAAUUCCGAUGCGAGCUGUCGAAAACUCCCGAUGGUGUUGCGACGAAGGCGUGCGAACCAUUCGAGCGCUGCUCCUUCAAGAUUUUCGACGAACAGGCGGCAAUAGCCGGCAUCCUUUUCGCCGUCCUUCAGUCUUGCUCUUCCCAUCGCGAUGUGGAAAGCCUGAAGGUGCGCUUUCGGAUCGGCCGUACCAUCGUACUUCGGUACUUUGAUCUUUCCCGGAUCGGACACCCUCAUGUCCGAAAUGCGACUGGUAAAGGGGGUCUUUCGAGCUCCUUCCAGCAGUCGAUCGAUCUCGGGGGCAGCACUAGUAGCAUGAUGGAUUUGAGACUUUACGGCUCUCACUUCUGCCGCAGUCUUGGUGAUGUAGUCGCGAAGAUCGCGGAUAUCCGAUGUCUCGUCAGUGGAUUUCCGAGCCUGUCGGCGCUUACUGCGAGUGAGCUCGGUUUGCCUUUCGGCCAGCUCCUCUUGUUCGUUCCAAUAGGCGACUUCUUCUUCUUCCGUCAUUGGUUUUUCGAACGGGGAGCCUUCCCGAGCGGAUCGGCUUCUGGUCCUUCUUGGAUGUCUGUCGACAUCCUCGUCGGUGUCGUUGGAGACAUCACUAGGAUCCAGGUCAAUGUGUUCGGCUUCGUUAUCCUCCGAGUCCUUUGCAGGGAGCGGAAGACUUUCAGAGUUCCCCUUCUCGAUGGGAGACUUCUCGCUGGGGUUUUGACCGGAAGGUCGUUCCCGCGCGGCUCCUGCUCUAUCGAGUGGGGUGGCGAAAUCGAGCCUCUUCCCGUGGAUUUUGGUGGUUCCGCGGGGACGGAUAGCUUGGGUCCUUGCCGUUAAGGUUUCAACCUGUUUGGUCAAGGUAUUCACGAGCUUAUCCUGUUCUUCCGACCUUUUUUCAUAGGUGGCGAACAUCUUUUUAAACUCCUCGAGAGUCGCGGCGUUGGCUUGCGCGUUGGCCGCAGAUACGUCCGCUACCGGAGUGUGGAGAUCGGUGCCGCUGCCUCCGUUAAGGGGAGUUUGCACGUUAUCCGCGUCGUUGGUUGACAUGUCUGAUUGUGUGUGGCUUUUGCGGGUUAGAUUGAUCCGUAAGGCCCUGUGUGUGGCUUUUGCGGGGGAGUUUGCACGUUAUCCGCGUCGUUGGUUGACAUGUCAGACUGUGUGUGGCUUUUGCGGGUUAGAUUGAUCCGUAAGGCCCCCUCCUUCUAGCGCCAAACUGUGGGAACCGAAAUUCGCACUGUCGAUUUCCGUUUAAAUAAGGAAACUAAGAAAACCCUAGUUUCCCAGAGGACCCGGAUAUCUGUUAAUUACCACACGUCAAGCAAUCAGAACACGAGAAUAACAACGAUAAAAAUAAGAAAUCGAAAAGAGAGCAAAGUAGAUCUUAUUCCGAAUCUGCGUAUGAGCGUUACAACAAGGUAUAAGCCUGGGCUCGAGAGCUGUCGGCGAGAUUUCUAGUUCUAGCAACCCUAAGACGGCUAAACCUAAUUGAGUCGCAGCUCGAAAUAACAAAAACGGAAAAUUGCCUAAAUUGCUCUAAGUGCUAAGUUUGCUCUGAAAAAAGUUCUCCCUCUUGCUCCUCGCCUAGGACUCCUUAUAUACUAGCUCCAAGGUCGGUUUACGCUUUUACUCUUCUGCCCUUAAGCCGUCAUAGCAUAAAAAUGGAGAUAUCCAUUUUUCCCGAUCUUCACAAUUAUCUUCAAAACUUCCGUAUUUAUCCGCGGAAACUUGACAUUUAUCCUUCCUCGUGGGCCAAGCGUGAACCACGCUGUGGUUUACGGGCUUUUGGUUAGGAAAAUCUUAGGAUGGGCCUCGAGUCGUGUUUUAGGUCCCUUUGGGCCGUCUUCCGACUCGACACGUUUACUACGAGUUUUCCGAGGUUUCUAAUCCGCGAAGUUUGAUCGACGAAUUAGAAUAGCGGGAAACAUGGACUGAGCUUGCUACGGUCUUCGGGAGAUAGCAUUCGAAGGUUUGACGAGAAUGCAAGGACUGGUGUCGUAUCGAUGUUCGGAAAGGUUCAAUCGCUACACAGCGACCAAACUUUGGCUCGAGCCCGGUCGCUACGUAGCGACCGAGCGAGACGAGUGCUCGGUCGCUACGUAGCGACCGAGCUUUGGCUCGAGCUCGGUCGCUACGUAGCGACCGAGCAGGACGAUCGCUCGGUCGCUACGUAGCGACCGAGCGGGACGAUCGCUCGUUCGCUGCGUAGCGACUUGUUUCGAGCUUUUCGUCAGACAUCUCGAUUCUUUCUUCCGUAAAGCUUUUUUCGUAAGAAAUAGUCUAUUUCCGAAAAAUACUCUUCGGAGAAAUUCUUAUUUUCUUCCUCGGACGUUUUGAAUGUUAAAUUUGUCGUAACCGUUUUUGACCCCAACAGUUUGCCCCCCAGCCCGUUAGAGUUGUGACUCUAGCGGGCGGAUAGAUGACUUUGACAAGGUUAAGUGUAUCGGACGAAAUUUACAUUUAAAAUUCCACGGAAAAAAGUUGUCAAGACGACAUUCCGAACCCAUACUUCUAUAAGUAGUGAGCUCUUGUCAUUCAUUUUCUUCACACCUUCCCUUCUUCAUUCCUUCAAAAACCUCUCUAGCUUCAUAAUUUUCCUUUCAACAUGUCUUCCUCCCAAGGUGAUAAGAAGGAUUCCGACGUCGAGAUGGGUGAGGCCACUUCUCCGGCUCCGGUUCCAACUUCUCCGGCGGAAGUGCCGGCUUGUGUUGCCGGUCAUCUUUCUUUCCGAGAGAAACUAGUUCGUCGCCAAGCCGAGAAAGGAUUGGCUCAAACUGGCUCUGAGUUUCCAUCUUCUUCCGCGCAGGUCGUUGCCUCGUGUCAUGGGACCGACGUCGCGGCUCUUCUCCCGCAGGCCCUACCUGCAGGAUCUUCCACGACUCCGAUCCUCGUCGAGGACAAAGAGAAAGCCGCUGACUCUAUGCCUCCGCCUCCAGCCAGAAAAGAAAUCGUUCUGGCAUUGCGUGCUCCUAGCGCUGUCCUGGCUACUCAGCCUAAGAGUCGGAAGAGGAAGCUUGCCAAGAGCGGUGACGGGGAGACUUCGCAGCGAGGUGGGUCGAGCCUAGCAUUGGGACUUCGCGGAAAGGUUUGUUUCUUGUUUGAAUUCUCGAUCGUCUUUCGUGCAUUCUUUUCACGGACUUAGUCUUAAGUAUUUUUACCGUUCGCAGUUCAUAUCGUUGAUCGAUGGGAUGAUCAGCGAAUGUGGUUCUGAGACCAGUCGCCUUUCCGGGGAGUUGGUGGAGCUUCAGGGAAGAUGGUCCGAAACCGAAGCUAUGUUGACGGCUGUCGAGGACUCUCACUCUGCGAAAGUGUCGAAGCUCGAGGUUGCCAUAGGAGAGCUUGAGAGGGACCUUGGGAAGACGGCGAGUUCCUUGCUCAAGGAAAAGAAGGCCAGGAAGGCCAAAUCCUCGGAGGUGCGCCGACUCCAGCGUCAGAUCGAGAGUGACGCGGGACUAGCGCGCCGCGGGAUCCAAGAGGCUACGGAUGCUCUUCGUGUGGAGUUUCAAGGUCGCUUGGCGAAGAUUUCUGCUUCCCUAGGUUCCCUCGAGUGUAUCCGGAGCAGGGAUCUCGCUUUGGCGACGAUUGAGGGCGGGGUGGCCGUAGUUCGGUCAUUCCAAAGUGAGACUCCCCCGACCUUGGAGGCCGAAGAGGCCCGGCUGUCCGGCUGCAAGGGAGAUAUGGCGGCCGAGGAUGGAGAUUUCGGUCUCAUCCUGGCCGACCUGAAAUCCGCGUGCUUCCUUCCGACGUGUUCAGAAGACCCAGAGGGGAAAGACCCGAUGGUCGGAGAGAACGGAAGCGAUGCGGCUCCAGGCUCGGACGAGGCAGCGGGUGAAGAGGGGGCGUAAGUUCUGAGGGCGACUUGGGUUAGAUCUCUUGCGAGAGAUUUUUUUUAAGUUUUUAUGUUUCGGCCUUGAAUGGCCUUGUUUGUAUUUCGGGACUGGCCGUGUGUGGCUUUGAAUCCCUGCCGCUCCGCGGCUUUAUGAUAUGAUAAUCAGAUAACGCUUUUUAUGAAUUUGUGAAUAGUGGGGAGGAAGGUGAUGAGUUGGCGUCUCAUAUCCUUCUUCAAUUGUGAAAUGUUUUAUUCGAGACCUGUUUCGAGAGUUCUUCCGCGAGAUGUGAACUCUGCGGGGGUGCUGAAGGUAUCGAAUGUAAACAUAGAGGCGUGUUUUAAGAAUCUCCUAUCUUUCGAUAUCAUGCCUUUGAGAUGUUAGAGACCAGUGCGCUGGGUUUAGGGCAAGACCUAGGUUUACUUUCGGUUUAAGGAUUGUGCGGUGACUAACCGGCUAUCGUUUUUCCUGUCGCGAUUUCUUCCUGAUUCGUAUCGAUGUAAAGUCCGCGAAAAUUUCUUGGCUUAUACGACUUGUUUGAUACGAAUCGAGCAUCUCUCCGGAGACCGGAAGUGCUAGACCAAAAUUUCGGAUUUCUUUUAUAGCGCUAUUAUCCUUGUGUCGGAUGUAAGAGAGUCAUCUGCGUGAGAUGUCUAUGUCUGUUUAGGACGUUUAUGAGUUCGAUGUGAUCAGCAUCGGACUUGGUGGCGUGUGCCGUUAUUUUGAUUAUUUUGCGCAAAAUAAAUGUUAAUGUGUGCAUGUAUGUAUCUUUUUGCGGAGAUUUCGUUUGCUCGGAAGAAAACAACUUUGAGGCAUCUUUUGCGACGUCUCGCGAUGCUAAAGGUUGAUUCUCCCAAGCGGCCGACUGAUUUCCGAAGACCUCGUUGCGAUUUCGCGGGUGAGGAUGUUUUGAUAAGUCGAAAACACCAAAAGUGUGGUAAGAAGUUUUUCGAUUUUUUUGGAGUAUACGAGUAUACGUACCCACUCCCCCCCCCCUUUUUUAAUGAGGGGGACAGCUGAAUUUGCCUUUCGGCAAACUGCCUACGUACUCCUUGCGGAGAUCAAGCCGUCUCGUAGUUCAGUGAUUGCGAGUUGAUUUGUUUAGUGAUAGUAUUUUUUUAGAUGCAUCGCAUUCCAGGUUCUAGGGAUUUUUAUGCCCUGCAUGUUGGCUAUUUCGUAAGAACCUGGUCGGACGACUUUUUCGAUUUUAUAGGGACCUUCCCAGUUUGCUCCGAGUUUUCUCGCGUUUCGUUCAGCGGUGUUUUGGAAGACUUUGCGAAGGACCAGAUCUCCCUGAUUGAACCUACGAUUCCGUACGUUGGAAUUAUAGUAUCUCGCAGCGGCGUGCUGGUAGUUUUGAAUUCGGAUGAGCGCUCGAUCCCGGCGUUUGUUAAUGAGAUCGAGGUCGUCCAAGAGCAUAGCAUUGUUGAGUUCCUCUCGUUCAGGUAAGAACCUUCUUCGAACACCGGGAAAUUCUACUUCUGCGGGAAUCAUUCACUCCGUGCCGUAUACCAGGGCGAAGGGAGUUUCUCCCGUUGCUCGCCUUGGGGUGGUACGGUGAGACCAGAGGACUCCCUCGAGUUCGUCGGCCCAUCUACCUUUUUUGGCCUCCAAGCGUUUCUUCAAUCCGUCGAGAAUGGUCUUGUUGAUUGUUUCAGCCUGUCCGUUGCACUGCGGAUAUCUGGGAGUUGACUUGUUGAGUCGUAUCUUCCACUUUUCGCAGAAUGCCUCGAAUCGGGUGGAAAUGAAUUGAGACCCGUUAUCGGUUACGAUUUCGUAAGGAACUCCAUGCCUACAGAUGAUGUUUCUCCACACGAAAUUCUCGACUUGGACGUCUUUUAUACUUGCGUACGAGUCCGCCUCUACCCAUUUUGAGAAAAAAUCGGUAAGGACUAGAAGGAAACGCUUUUGCUUUGAAUUAUGCAGAGGUCCGACAAUAUCCAUGGCCCAGCGCAUAAAGGGAUAGGGCGAUGUGAUGGAGGAAAGAACUUCGGCCGGUUGUCGGAUAGUUGGCGCAUGCCUUUGGCAUUUUUCGCAUUUUCGUGCGAAUUUCUCGCAAUCUCCGAUCAUUGUUGGCCAAUAGUAUCCGUGGCGUUUGAUUUUCACGGCUAGUGAUCUUCCGCCGGAAUGGUUGCCGCAUGAGCCGGAAUGUAUUUCCUCCAUUACUUUCCUCGCCUUUUCUCCUUCCAGGCACGUCAGGAGUGGUCCGGAGAAUCUCCAUUUGUAGAUUUCGCCGUCCACUGUUACGUAGCGUGCGGCCUGUGUUCGGAUCUUGCGAGCUGCCCAUUUUUCGGCGGGCAGUUGCCCGUCGAUAAUGUAGUCUCGAAUCGUCUGAAGCCAUGGGGUAUCACAGCCGUAAUCAGAUUGCUCCGAUGGUGGUGGUAUCGUAAUUUCUUCUUCCUCGUCGUCUUGACCCUCUAUGAGAUUGACAACGACUGGUGGUCCGAUACUCGGAUGUUCGAUGAAUUCGACCGGAAUUACCCUUUUGAGUCCUGGAUCGGAACUUGAUGCUAAGGCCGCGAGGGCGUCCGCCUGGACAUUCUCGGAACGGGGGAUCCGGGUAAGGGCGAAACAGUCGAAGUCUUGAGCUAGACCUUGGACCAGUUUGAGGUACGCGUCCAUCCGUUCGUCUCUGGCUUCAUACUCUCCGCUGAAUUGACUGGCCACUAACUGGGAGUCGCAGUAGGCGUGGAGAUUAUGUAUUUUUAAGCCAUGAGCCAAACGUAGACCUGCGAUUAAUGCUUCGUAUUCGGCCUCGUUGUUUGAGGCAUGGAAUACCAGCCUGAACGAUUGUUCCAAGAUCUCGCUCGUUGGAGAUGUGAGACGGAUCCCGAUACCCGAUCCUUGCUUGGAUGAGGAUCCGUCGACGUGGAGGAGCCAGGUGGAAUUUGGUUCCUCAUUGGUUAUUGCUCCCGUUGGAAGUUCGACCAAGAAGUCUGCGAGCACUUGUGAUUUUGCGCUCGUCCUUGGUCGGUAUUCGAUGUCAUACUCGCUCAACUUGACCGCCCACUUAGCCAAUCGACCGGAUUGACUUGGGCUAUGCAAAAUUGUCCGUAAGGGAAAAGUCGUGAGGAUGACAAUCGUGUGGGAUUGGAAAUAUGGUCUUAGUUUUCGGGCCGACGUUACGACCGCGCAUGCCAAUUUUUCCAUCAAUGGAUACCUAGAUUCGGCAUCCAGCAAGGUUUUGCUUAUGUAGAAAAUAGGUUUCUGCUCUCCACGUUCUUCCCUGAUCAGGACUCCGCUUACGGCCGUUGCCGACACCGCGAUGUACAAGAAUAAAGGCUCCCCUUCCACGGGUUUUGCGAGGACUGGAGGAGUAGCUAAAUAACGCUUCAGCUGUUGGAAGGCGUUUUCGCACUCUUCCUACCAUUCAAAUUUUUUAUUUUCUCGCAGGACGUCGUAGAAGGGCAGACACUUAUCUGUUGAUCGUGAAAUAAAUCGGUUAAGUGCUGCGAUUCUGCCGGUCAGUCUUUGGACCUCCCGCUUGUUCUUUGGUGAAGCCAUCUCGAUUAGUGCGUUGAUCUGUUUUGGAUUUGCUUCGAUGCCGCGGUUGGUGACCAAGUAGCCGAGGAAUUCUCCUGAUGCCACGGCGAAUCUACAUUUUGUCGGGUUGAGCUUCAUGUUAUGGGAGCUUAGUUGUGCAAAGCAUUCUUCGAGAUGUGACACGUGAUCUCUUGCUUUGAGGGAUUUGACGAGCAUGUCGUCGAUAUAAACUUCCAUCGUUUUUCCGAGUUGUUUGGAGAACAUUCGGUUCACGAGUCGUUGGUAAGUUGCUCCAGCGUUUUUGAGGCCGAAGGGCAUUACCUUAUAGCAAUAAGUUCCGCGAUCGGUAAUGAACGCAGUCUUUUCACGAUCGUCGGGAUUCAUCCUAAUUUGAUUAUAACCUGAGAACGCAUCCAUGAAGGAUAAGAGUUCGUUGCCCGCUGUUGCUUCUACCAAUCGAUCGAUAUGUGGUAGAGGGAAGCUAUUCUUCGGACAUGCCUUGUUUAGGUCGGUAAAAUCUACGCAAACUCGCCACUUCCCGUUUUUCUUUUUGACUACUACGGGGUUGGCGAGCCAGUCCGGGUAUCUUACUUCCGUUAUCGACCCAACUUUAAGCAAUUUUUCGACCUCAUCGUUUACUGCGGCAGCACGUUCGGGUCCUAGCUUCCGCCUUUUCUGUUUGACGGGUUUGAAUGUUGGGUCGAUAUUCAGCUCGUGACAUGUUAUGUUAAUGUCGAUUCCCGGCAUGUCUUCCGCAGCCCAUGCGAAAGUAUUAAGGUUCUCUUUAAGACAGGUUAUGAGUUCUGUCCUUAAAGGCUCGUGGAGAUUGGCUCCAAUCUCGACGUAGCGUUCUGGGAAGGCUUCGUCGAGACAGAUCGUUACCACGGGUUCACAUGUUGGCUCGCGUUUUUCAUCUAGAGUUGCGAUGCUGCGAGACUGCCAGAAGAAUUCAGCCGAAUCCUAACUUUGCGUAUCUUUGCUGGAGGUCUUUUUCUCCGCUUUCUUAGGAGUAACUUCGAGGAUCGGUCUCUUUCGUUUUAGUUCCGCAGCAAAACAAAACUGCGAAACUCUUGGAUUUCCCCAGAUUACCUCGACUCCGUUAGGGGUCGGGAACUUGAGGCAAAGAUGGUAGGUUGAUGGGAUUGCGCGCAUGGUGUUCAGCCAUGGCGUCCCCAUGAUAACGUUGUAAGAUGCGGGGCGGUCAACGACUAGAAACUCUGUGAUGUUUGUCACGGUUCCGGCUUUGACAGCGAGUCUAAUCGAUCCAUAGGCCAUGGUCGUUUCCCCCGAAAGUCCUAGCAGUGGGCUUGGGUAUUUCGCGAUCUCGGAUUGACUGAUCCCCAUCUUUUCAAGAGUGUCUUUGAAGAUGAUAUCGGCCGAGCUUCCGGUAUCGAUUAGUACUCUAGCGACGUCGAUAUCUCGAAUCGUCAACUCGAUAACAAGGAGAUCGUUUCGAGGUUUGGCUCGAUCGAUCGUUUCUCCCCCCUUGAAUGAGAUGACGUUCGCGCACGUCGAAUCUCGCAUAUCGUUCCUGAUCGUUGAGUGGCUUUUGCGGGUUAGAUUGAUCCGUAAGUCCCCCUCCUUCUACCGCCAAACUGUGGGAACCGAAAUUCACACUGUCGAUUUCCGUUUAAAUAAGGAAACUAGGAAAACCCUAAUUUCCCAGAGGACCCGGAUAUCUGUUAAUUACCACACGUCAAGCAAUCAGAACACGAGAAUAAUAACGAUAAAAAUAAGAAAUCGAAAAGAGAGCAAAGUAGAUCUUAUUCUGAAUCUGCGUAUGAGCGUUACAACAAGGUAUAAGCCUGGGCUCGAGAGCUGUCGGCGAGAUUUCUAGUUCUAGCAACCCUAAGACGGCUAAACCUAAUUGAGUCGCAGCUCGAAAUAACAAAAACGGAAAAUUGCCUAAAUUGCUCUAAGUGCUAAGUUUGCUCUGAAAAAAGUUCUCCCUCUUGCUCCUCGCCUAGGAAUCCUUAUAUACUAGCUCCAAGGUCGGUUUACGCUUUUACUCUUCUGCCCUUAAGCCUUCAUGCAAGGACUAGUGUCGUAUCGAUGUUCGGAAAGGUUCAAUCGCUACACAGCGACCGAACUUUGGCUCGAGCCCGGUCGCUACGUAGCGACCGAGCGAGACGAGUGCUCGGUCGCUACGUAGCGACCGAGCUUUGGCUCGAGCUCGGUUGCUACGUAGCGACCGAGCGGGACGAUCGCUCAGUCGCUACGUAGCGACCGAGCUUUGGCUCGAGCUUGUAGCGACCGAGCGGGACGAUCGCUCGGUCGCUACGUAGCGACCGAGCUUUGGCUCGAGCUCGGUCGCUAGGUAGCGACCGAGCUGGACGAUCGCUCGGUCGCUGCGUAGCGAUUUGUUUCAAGCUUUUCGUCGGACAUCUCGAUUCUUUCUUCCGUAAAGCUUUUUUCGUAAGAAAGAGUCUAUUUCCGAAAAAUACUCUUCGGAGAAAUUCUUAUUUUCUUCCUCGGACGUUUUGAAUGUUAAAUUUGUCGUAACCGUUUUUGACCCCAACAAGGAUGAAUCGCGAUGUAAGAAGCUUGAUUUUGAUACAUAAAGUAAUGGAGAAUCACUAGGAAGUUGAAUAAAUCUCAUAGGAGUUAGGAUGAAGAAGUUGUCCCACUUUCAAAUCAGGUGAUCCCAGUUUUUCUGUUUGGGAAUAUGACAGCUUCUUUGUCAUUCUAAUCAAACCAGGAUAAAUCGCGAUGUAAAAAGCUUGAUUUGGAUAUAUAAAGUAAAGGAGAAUCACUAUGAAGUUGAAUAAAUCUCAUAGGAGUUAGGAUGAAGAAGUUGUCCUACUUUCAAAUCAGGUGAUCCCAGUUUUUCUGUUUGGGAAUUUGACAGCUUCUUUUUCAUUCUAAUCAAACCAGAAUGAAUUGUGAUGUAAGAAGCUUUAAUUGGAUACAUACAGUAGUGGAGAACCAUUAGGAAGUUGAAUAAAUCUCAUAGGAGUUAGGAUGAAGAAUCUAUCCCACUUUCAAAUAAGGUUAUCCCAAUUUUCCUGUUUGGGAAUAUGACCGCUUUCUUGUCAUUCUAAUCAAACCAGGAUGAAUCGCGAUGUAAGAAGUUUGAUUUUGAUACAUAAAGUAAUGGAGAAUCACUAGGAAGUUGAAUAAAUCUCAUAGGAGUUAGGAUGAAGAAGCUAUCCCACUUUCCAAUCAUGUGAUCCCAAUUAUCCUGUUUGGGAAUAUAACAGCUUCCUUGUCAUUCGAAUCGAACCAGGAUGAAUCGCGAUGUAAAAAGCUUGAUUUUGAUACAUAAAGUAAUGGAGAAUCACUAGGAAGUUGAAUAAAUCUCAUAGGAGUUAGGAUGAAGAAGCUAUCCCACUUUCAAAUCAGGUGAUCCCAGUUUUUCUGUUUGGGAAUAUGANNNNNNNNNNNNNNNNNNNNNNNNNNNNNNNNNNNNNNNNNNNNNNNNNNNNNNNNNNNNNNNNNNNNNNNNNNNNNNNNNNNNNNNNNNNNNNNNNNNNNNNNNNNNNNNNNNNNNNNNNNNNNNNNNNNNNNNNNNNNNNNNNNNNNNNNNNNNNNNNNNNNNNNNNNNNNNNNNNNNNNNNNNNNNNNNNNNNNNNNNNNNNNNNNNNNNNNNNNNNNNNNNNNNNNNNNNNNNNNNNNNNNNNNNNNNNNNNNNNNNNNNNNNNNNNNNNNNNNNNNNNNNNNNNNNNNNNNNNNNNNNNNNNNNNNNNNNNNNNNNNNNNNNNNNNNNNNNNNNNNNNNNNNNNNNNNNNNNNNNNNNNNNNNNNNNNNNNNNNNNNNNNNNNNNNNNNNNNNNNNNNNNNNNNNNNNNNNNNNNNNNNNNNNNNNNNNNNNNNNNNNNNNNNNNNNNNNNNNNNNNNNNNNNNGUUCGCAGUUCAUAUCGUUGAUCGAUGGGAUGAUCAGCGAAUGUGGUUCUGAGACCAGUCGCCUUUCCGGGGAGUUGGUGGAGCUUCAGGGAAGAUGGUCCGAAACCGAGGCUAUGUUGCCGGCUGUCGAGGACUCUCACUCUGUGAAAGUGUCGAAGCUCGAGGUUGCGAUAGGAGAGCUUGAGAGGGACCUUGGGAAGACGGCGAGUUCCUUGCUCAAGGAAAAGAAGGCCAGGAAGGCCAAAUCCUCGGAGCGGGACGAUCGCUCGGUCGCUACGUAGUGACCGAGCUUUGGCUCGAGCUCGGUCGCUGCGGGACAAUCGCUCGGUCGCUAUGUAGCUACCGAGCUUGGCUGAGCUCGGUCGCUACGUAGCGACCGAGGUCGCUGCGUAGCGACUUGUUUCGAGCUUUUUGUCGGACAUCUCGAUUCUUUCUUCCGUAAAGCUUUUCUCGUAAGAAAGAGUCUAUUUCCGAAAAAUACUCUUCGGAGAAAUUCUUAUUUUCUUCCUCGGUCGUUUUGAAUGUUAAAUUUGUCGUAACCGUUUUUGACCCCAACAAGCUACAGGUAAAAGUUUGUUCCUAGUUUCUCUCUCUCUAAUUUUCUUUCUUGAGUCAAAGUCUGCUUCCAUUGCAAAAUCAGUGACCAAGAUUGGAGAGGCUUCCAUGAAUCAAAACUUAAUGGUGGUUGCCACCAAGUUCUGUUCACUUCUUUUUGACCUACAUCCAAGAGUUCUUUGCGAAAGCGAGCCUUGAAGAUUGCCGCCUCCAAGUCCUGUUUCGAACUCUUUUAUUUGAGUCUUUAUGAAUCAAGCCUUAAUGGUUUUAGCCACCAAGUCCUGUUCAGACUCAUCCUAAUUAAACCAUAGAUCUUUUAUUAUUAUUAUAUUAUUAUUAUUAUUAUUAUUUUUAUUAACUCACUAACUAAUCUAGGGUCGAAAUUUAGAGAGAAAAAAUGUGAUAAAUAAUCUAAACCAGGCGUUACCUUCCAGACCUGUCUGGAGAAUCCGAUCCCAUGUAUACCAAGCCCCAAGACAAGCGGUUAUGUCAGGUUUAGUGUUGGAAAUCAGCUUUGGUUACUUCAUAUGGUUCAAGGCAAGUGUUUAGUUGAUAGGUUGAUCCGCUUUAGCAUCUUUAGUGCUAUCUGCCAUCACUAAAUCUAAAAUGGUGCUAAAGAUUGGUUAGAUAUUCAAGUUUAAAUCAAUAUAAAAUUAUAGUUUUUAUUUUCAAUAGCUAAGCAUAAUUUAUUAAAAUUCCUUUUUAUAUAAGAAUAAAAUAAAUUAUAUCAGUAAAUCUCACCCCAGACUUAAAUUACAAUGUCCCAGUGUAACUCAGCCGGAGUUAUGAUGAAAAGUUAUGAUGUACGAAAUGUAACAAGGAAGAUACGUCUUGCCGGAUUAGAUAUCGAUCGAUGUGUAAGUGUUAUAUCGAUCGUCAUGUGCUUGUCUACGUCGAACGAUGUCGACGUCUCGUCGUCGGUCGAUAUUCAGGUCCUCCUACUUGGGUCUCCUAAAUCUGAAAGAAAUAAACGAAAGUAAAUAAAUGCUAGCUAAUAAAACCAAAGUAAAAUACCUAAUAGUGGGUUGCCUCCCACUCAGCGCAUGGUUAUAGUUAUUUAGCUUGACUGUGGUAAUGAUUGGCUAUUGGGUGGAGAAACAGCUGCUUGUUGGUUGGAAAGCAAGCAUCCACGUCAUCUCUGCACAUUCUGAACCAAAAUGCAAUGAAACUUCUUGUGGCCUCAUCAUUUCUUGUCCAUUUGUCAUCCAUCUUCUCAAGUACAUUGGAGAUGUUCUGUAGCCUUUCUUGAACGUUGUCAAUGCUGACCUGGUGCCAACCAAUGUUGUCAUUGGCGUAUGCUGAAAGAUCUGCCAGUUCCUUUUGCAUUGAUUCCAUCGUCUUAUGUAUCAGUUGCUCGCUGAUUGGUGUAGACUCGGCGUCGAUCGAUGCGAUUAUGUGUUCGUUGGUCGAUCUGGGCAAGUUGCCAUCGAUCGAUUUCGCUCGUGUCCUGUCGAUCGAUGCUGAUAUCUGGUGUUUGGCUGCGAUUUUCCUCUGAAUGGCUUUGACUUCUUUCUAUAGCCAUUCUGCGUGGCUGUCUAGUCCACUGAUUUUGUUGUCGAAUGGAAAGUAGAUGUCAUCGCAGCGUUUGUGAAGUCGUUCCUCCAUGGUGUCUAAAGCAGUGUAGAUCUUGGAUGUGAUCUUGUCAACCUCUGCUGCUGUGUAAGGAAGUAACUCCACAGGUUUUUUGCCAUCGAUCCAAGGCCCUCGUAGCCUGUCGAUUGAUGCUGAUUUUGCCUGCAAAAAAUUUUGAUUAGUAAUGUUCUCAGUAUCCUUUUGGGCAUGAAGUAAUUGACUAAACAAUUUGUUUAAAUAUAUCAUGACUGGUGAUAUAAAGCGGUCAUGCAUAUCCUCGUAAGUCCUCAGCCUCUCAUUCAUGGCUGAGACUUUAGCGUCGAGCGAUGUGAAGGUACACAUGUCGAUCGAUGUGGCUGGUUGUUGGUCCUUCUUGGGAAUGGUGUCUAGAUCUUGCUGUAGUAGCUCUAUUUUAGUGCUUAUCCCACUUUCAAAUCAGUUGAUUCCAGUUUCCCAGUUGAUUCCAGUUUCCCAGUUUGGGAAUAAGACAACUUCUUCGUUGUUCCAAUCGAACCAGGAUGAAUCACUUUGUAAGAAGCUUGAUUUGGAUACAUAAAGUGGUGGAGAAUCACCUGGAAGUUAAAUAAAUCUCAUAGGAGUAGGGAAGAAGAAGUUAUCCCUUUUUACAAAUCAAGUGAUUCUAGUUUCCCAGUUUGGUAAUGAGACAACUGCUUCAUCGUUCCAAUCGAACUAGGAUGAACCACUUUAUAAGAAGCCUGAUAUGGAUACAUAAAGUGGUGGAGAAUGACCAGGAAGUUGAAUAAAUCUCAUAGGAGUAGGGAAGAAGAAGUUAUUCCACUUUCAAAUCAGUUGAUUCCAGUUUUCCAGCUUGGGAAUAAGACAACUUCUUCGUCGUUCCAAUCGAACCAGGAUGAAUCACUUUGUAAGAAGCUUGAUAUGGAUACAUAAAGUGGUGGAGAAUGACCAGGAAGUUGAAUAAAUCUCAUAGGAGUUGGGAAGAAGAAGUUAUCCCACUUUCAAAUCAGUUGAUUCCAAAUUCCCAGUUUGGGAAUAAGACAACUUCUUCGUCGUUCCAAUCGAACUAGGAUGAAUCACUUUGUAAGAAGCUUGAUAUGGAUACAUAAAGUGGAGGAGAAUGACCAGGAAGUUGAAAAAAAUCUCAUAGGAGCUGGGAAGAAGAAGUUAUCCCACAUUCAAAUUAGUUGAUUCCAGUUUCCUAGUUAGGAAUAAGACAACUUCUUCGUCGUUCCAAUCGAACCAGGAUGAAUCACUUUUUUAGAAGCUUGAUAUGGAUACAUAAACUGGUGUAGAAUGACCAGGAAGGUGAAAAAAAUCUCAUAGGAGCUGGGAAGAAGAAGUUAUCACACUUUCAAAUCAGUUGAUUCCACUUUUCCAAUUUGGGAAUAAGACAACUUCUUCGUCGUUCCAAUCGAACCAGGAUGAAUCACUUUUUUAGAAGCUUGAUAUGGAUACAUAAACUGGUGUAGAAUGACCAGGAAGUUGAAAAAAAUCUCAUAGGAGCUGAGAAGAAGAAGUUAUCCCACAUUCAAAUCAGUNNNNNNNNNNNNNNNNNNNNNNNNNNNNNNNNNNNNNNNNNNNNNNNNNNNNNNNNNNNNNNNNNNNNNNNNNNNNNNNNNNNNNNUAUCCCUUUUUACAAAUCAGGUGAUUCUACUUUCCCAGUUUGGGAGUAAGACAACUUCUUCAUCGUUCCAAUCGAACUAGGAUGAAUCUCUUUGUAAGAAGCUUGAUAUGGAUACCUAAAGUGGUGCAGAAUGACCAGGAAGUUGAAAAAUAUUUCAUAGGAGCUGAGAAGAAGAAGUUAUCCCACAUUCAAAUUAGUUGAUUCCAGUUUCCCAAUUUGGGAAUAAGACAACUUCUUCGUCGUUCCAAUCGAACUAGGAUGAAUCACUUUGUAAGAAGCUUGAUAUUGAUACCUAAAGUGGUGUAUAAUGACCAGGAAGUUGAAAAAAAAUCUCAUAGGAGUUGGGAAAAAGGAGUUAUCCCACUUUCAAAUCAGUUGAUUCCGGUUUCCCAGUUUGGGAAAAAGACAACUUCUUCGUCGUUCCAAUCGAACCAGGAUGAAUCACUUUGUAAGAAGCUUGAUAUGGAUACAUAAAGUGGUGGAGAAUGACCAGAAAGUUGAAAAAAAUCUCAUAGGAGCUGGGAAGAAGAAGUUAUCCCACUUUCAAAUCAGUUGAUUCCAGUUUCCCAGUUUGAGAAUAAGACAACUUCUUCGUUGUUCAAAUCGAACCAGGAUGAAUCACUUUGUAAGAAGCUUGAUUUGGAUACAUAAAGUGGUGGAGAAUCACCUGGAAGUUGAAUAAAUCUCAUUGGAGUAGGGAAGAAGAAGUUAUCCCUUUUUACAAAUCAGGUGAUUCUAGUUUCCCAGUUUGGGAAUAAGACAACUUCUUCAUCGUUCCAAUCGAACUAGGAUGAACCACUUUGUAAGAAGCCUGAUAUGGUUACAUAAAGUGGUGGAGAAUGACCAGGAAGUUAAAUAAAUCUCAUAGGAGUUGGGAAGAAGAAGUUAUCCCACUUUCAAAUCAGUUGAUUCUAGUUUCCCAGUUUGGGAAUAAGACAACUUCUUCGUCGUUCCAAUCGAACUAGGAUGAAUCCCUUUGUAAGAAGAUUGAUAUGGAUACAUAAAGUGGUGGAGAAUGACCAGGAAGUUGAAAAAAAUCUCAUAGGAGCUGGGAAGAAGAAGUUAUCCCACUUUCAAAUCAGUUGAUUCCAGUUUCCCAGUUAGGGAAUAUGACAACUUCUUCGUCGUUCCAAUCGAACCAGGAUGAAUCACUUUAUAAGAAGCUUGAUCUGGAUACAUAAAGUGGUGGAGAAUGACCAGGAAGUUGAAAAAAAUCUCAUAGAAGCUGGGAAGAAGAAGUUAUCCCACUUUCAAAUCAGUUGAUUCCAGUUUUCCAAUUUGGGAAUAAGACAACUUCUUCGUUGUUCCAAUCGAACCAGGAUGAAUCACUUUGUAAGAAGCUUGAUAUGGAUACAUAAACUGGAUCUCCUAACCUAGAAUGCCACAAUGCACCAUUUGAAACAUAACUAAGCAGGCAACUAGAAGUAGAAAUAAAUUUAAUGUCUUCAAGCAUGUAAAGGUCUCCCUUGGCUACACGUUGUCCAAUCAACUUACUGCUCCCAAUAUCCUGAAAUUUCACAUCAUUAGGACUGAAGAUAACAUUGCAUUGUAGAUCAGUAGUACAUCUCUUAACAGAUAAGAGGUUAGAAGUAAACUCAAGCAUGUAAAAGGCUUUAGAGUUCUUAUCAAACAGGUUCAAGUUUCCUAUCCUCUAAUAGGAAUUCUAUCCCCGUUUGCAAUUAUUACAUGUCCAUGUGGUUCUAUGUUUUUUAUAAGACUAUCAUCACUUAUCAUAUGAUGAGAAGCACCUGAAUCUACAAUCAACGGUUUUAUCCCUUGAACAAUGUGAGUUCUAGGUGAUUCAUUUCUAAGUUUUAAUUCAUCAAUGAUAUCUAUCAACCUAUUAUCACAUUUAGUCAUAGCAUGAGCAGUAUAUGAGUAUCCAAGAGUGUUUCCGAAUGUACCAGACUCCUUAAGAGCUUUGAUGAGGGCAACGAUGUCGGAUUUCCUGAUCACCUCAUGUUCCAUGCUCUUCCCAGCCGUGUAAUGAGAGGCCAUGGCUCUUGAUGCGCUUUCACCCGCGUGUUCACUUGAGCCAGCUCCUGAUGGACCGGCGUCACUUGCUUCAGCAGACAGGUUAGCACUAGCCUCUCUAUCCUUGUUGAACUUGGCUGGCUUAAGAUGUGGGUGUAGGAUCCAGCAUUGGCUCCUCUUGUCUCCCGGUUUCUUACAGUGAUCACAGUUGCCUCCAAACCUCCUCUCAACACUAUACUUCAUGUCAUCUGAUCUGUAUGUUGCACGGUUUGCCAGUGCCACUUCCUCAGCCUUAUUGGCCAAUGAUAGGUCUCCUUUACUUCCAAAGAGACCAAGAGAUCCCUCCUCCUUUUGAAUCUGUGCACACACCUCCUCCAUGGAUGGGAGAUUUGGCGACCUCAGUAUGUGCUUGAUCACAUCAUUGAACGGAGAAUCCAAUGUCAACAGCAGUCCAAACACUUGAUCUUGCUCACGCCUCUCCAUCAGCACCUCUUGAUAAGUUGUGCUAGGCCUCAAGGUUUCAAGCUCAGACCACAAUGAUCUAUACUUGCCCAAAUUCUUGGUGAACUUCUCUCCAUCUUGCACAAGUAUGUUGAUAUCUCGCUUGAUUUCAAACACACUGCUCAGAUUGGUAAUGUUCCCAAAUGUCUUUUGGAGUGUCUCCCACAGAUGUUUAGGAGUCUCGCAAUAGCUGUAUGCUUCCAAUAGAUGAACCUCAAGAGACCCUUGUAGUGCGGACAGUACCAUAAGAUCAUCUUGAACCCACUUCUUCUGAUCAACAACCGCGAGCUCUCUCCCACCUUCUUCCUCACCGGCCACUGGCUUUGGAGCUUCAUCCGUGAUGAGACUCCACAGCCCUAGCCUCCAAAUGGCUGUCUUCACCAGCCUUGACCACAACAGGUAGUUUCCUCCACCCUUGAGUGAAAUCAGAACCGUAACAAUCUUGCUGUUGCCUCCCAUCUUGAUUUACGCUGAACACAAAGAUAAACUUGAAUGAAGCUGAAGAACACAAGAUCUCAAUACCAAAGCCAACCUGGCUGUGAUACCAUAUGAUUUUACAGAAUAAGAAAGGUAUUAAGAUAUUUAAGAGAGUUUAAGAGAGAUUAAGAUGUUUACGAGUAAUUGUAUGAGAUAAUCAUGAUGAACUUGAGAGAGAAACUCAUAAACUCUUGUGUUAUUUUUUACUAAUGACCAGGUACAAUAUAUAUAUGAGAGAGAGCUAGGGCAUUUCAAAAUACAAGCAUGUGAAGUCAAGGAUAAGAUGAGAGACUAUAGGAAAAAUAACCAAUGGGAUUAGCCACAUGCUUGGACACCUUUUGCUUUUAAUUUACAGGCUGUCCUUAGCUGUAGCCACGCCAUAUCCAUCUGAUCCAACGGUCUUAUUGUAGAUAAGAGCCUCCAAGGUAAGGUAAGCCGAGUUACUCUUCAACCGGGUAACUUAUGGACGAUCCAAGUUAACUUUGGUCGAUCCAAAAGUUACCAUGGUACGGUCUCUUGUUCGGCCUGGUCGUACGACCGUCCCGAACUCAUCCUCUCUUGUCUUCUGCAUUCUUCAACACUCUUAUAUCUAAUAACACAAGCCUGCCUCAUCUCAUUCAUAUUGUUUAACAAUAGGAGUUGGGAUGAAAAAGUUAUCUCACUUUCUAAUCAGGUGAUUCUAGUUUCCUAGUUUGGGAAUACAACAACUUCUUCGUCGUUCCAAUCAAACCAUGAUGAAUCACUUUGUAAAAAGCUUGAUUUGGAUACAUAAAAUGGUGGAGAAUAACUAUGAAGUUGAACAAAUCUCAUAGGAGUUGGGAUUUAGAAGUUAUCCCACUUUCAAAGCAGGUGAUUCCAGUUUUCCAGUUUGGGAAUAAGACAACUUCUUCGUUGUUCAAAUUCAACCAUGAUGUAUCAAUUUGUAAGAAUCUUGAUUUAGAUACAUAAACUGGUGGAGAAUCACCAGGAAGUUGAAUAAAUCUCAUAGGAGUUGGGAAGAAGAAGUUAUCCUACUUUCAAAUCAGGGGAUUCCAGUUUCCCAGUUUGGGAAUAUGACAACUUCUUCGUCUUCCAAUCGAACCAGGAUGAAUCACUUUGUAAGAAGCUUGGUUUGGAUACAUAAAGUGGUGGAGAAUCACAAGGAAGUUGAAAAAAUCUCAUAGGAGUUGCGAAGACGAAGUUAUCCCACUUUCAAAUCAGGUGGUUCCAGUUUCCCAGUUUGGGAAUAAGACAACUUCUUCGUCGUUCCAAUCGAACCAUCAUGAAUCACUUACAAGUCAUACUAUCACACCUAUCAACAACACUACUCAAGCACACAGAAUCAAAGGGUUUAGAAUUCUUAGCCAUUUGAAGAUGGUAUAGCUGAUUCUUGCUGUCUCCUAUGCCAAUAACUCUCCCAGUCUUCAAAUCUUGAAAUUCAACUUCAUCAGGUCUGAAUAAUACUUGACAAUCGAGAUGAAUGGUAGUUUUCUUCACCGAUAACAGAUUUGAAGUGAACCGGGGCAUGUAGAAGGCAGUCUUGUCCUUCUCAAACAGUUUGAGCUUUCCCACUCCUUCUAUUGGGAUCAUAGCACCAUUAGCUAUCAUAACACUCCAUGUUGCAGCCUUGAUUUCACUUAUAAUCCUCCUAUCACUGAUCAUAUGAUGGCUUGCUCCAGAAUCAAUUACACAGGGUUUAGGAGCUCCGGAUUGUACACCAUGUGUCUUGCUUGCUGCUAAAGCUUGUCCAUGUUCCAUGAACACUCACCAUUCCUUCAUGGUGAUGCAAUCAUCAGCUCCACCCUCAUUUUCCUGCUCUCUUAACACCACACUGUCUUCUACUGAUUCCCCCAUUUAGCCUGAGUAAGAACACUCUCAUCUCACCACUUGUUGUGCAGCCUCCUUGAUCAUCUUUAAGUUCAUCUCGUCACUCACAUAACCAGACUCUCUGUUCUUCCUCCAAGCCUUUCUCCUCAUGAACCAUACCUUGGAAAGUUUUCUACCUUCCCUUCUUACAGUUUGUACCACCCUUCCACUGAAUUGAUUUCUUGUUCUUCACACACACAUCACAAGUGUAUUGAACAAGCUCAAAUAUCUCAUUCACAAUAAAGUUAAAGAUAACAUCUUGUCCUCUCCUUUCUUCAAUUACCUCUGGCUUUGCUGUAAGCUCCACCCACACUUCUUUCAGCCUUCUCACAAGCUGAUAAAGCUCAUCCUUUCCUUGUUUCCAGUCACAUAUCACCCUCUUGUCUUCACUGACCUUCACAAGUUUGGACCUUUCUUCAUAAGCUGCUUCAAUCCCACUCUUUCUAGUGUUUUCUUGAACAGCUUCAUCUUCAAAAAUAACCAACUCCUUUAAAGGUUCAUCCUUUAUCUGAUUACUCCAAAUCCCACAGCUUUCCAAAGUUGUCUUCAUCAAAUCUGACCAGAUCCACUCGUUUUCUCUUUCUUUCUUCACUUGAUAAAUUGAUCUGGUCUUCUUUUCUUUGCUAGAGUCGUUUGAUUCCAUCAGAUGAACUCAAUCAAACCCAGAAAAUGAAGAACAGAGCUCAAAACCAUCAUGAACACUCAAGAACAUCAAGAACAGCUCAAGAACACCAAGAACACAAACCUAUAUUUUUUAAAACAAGAUUAACACACUCCCACCCUUUUAGCAACCUGGCUCUGAUACCAUAUACACUUUUGUGUAUUAGAGUGUGUUUAAACAAAUUUAAGAACAAUCAGACUGUUUUGUGUAAGAUUAAAGAGAUUAAGAGAAUAAGUAGAGAGAGAACAAAGAGAAUAUUCAAAACUCCACUAAUUAAUUUAAUGUCUUAGAUACAAAUUAUAUAUGAAGAGAUAAGGCAGAUACAAAGGGGAUUUCGAAAUCCAUAAGCAUGUGGGAGUCAAUGGACAUGCUGGAAGUCCUUUUGAAAUGCUUGGUUAUAGUUUCACACAUGCUUUCUACAGUAAUAAAGUAUAUUCUCCUUUCCAGCUCAAGACAGCAUGUCCACGUGCCCCUUAUCUUCUCCAAAUUCCCUUGGAUGUUUUUCCUCUCCAAAUGGAUGCAAAGUAACUUCACAAGCUUUAACGUAGUUACCUUUAUCCAGAAAUGGUGAAACUCAAAAGUUAAUGUGGUAAAAACUCCAAAGUUACUUUCUCACUUCAUUGAACCCUAAAGCUUCAUACCUUCACUACUUGGUCUUCAUCUCAACAGUUAGGAUGAAGAAGUUAUCCCACUUUCAAAUCAAGUGAUUUCAGUUUCCCAGUUUAGGAAUAAGACAACUUCUUUGUCGUUCCAAUCAAACCAGGAUGAAUCACUUUGUAAGUAGCCUGUUUCGGAUACAAAAGUGGUGGAGAAGCACCAGGAAGUUGAAAAAAUCUCAUAGGAGUUGGGAUGAAGAAGUUAUCCUACUUUCAUAUCAGGUGAUUCCAGUUUCCCAUUUUGGGAAUACGACAACUUCUUCGUCGUUCCAAUUCAACCAGGAUGAAUCACUUUGUAAGAAGCUUCAUUUGGAUACAUAAAGUGGUGUAGAAUCACCAGGAAGUUGAAUAAAUCUCAUAGGAGUUGGGAAGAAAGAGUUAUCCCACUUUCAAAUCAGUUGAUUCCAGUUUCCCAGUUUGGGAAUAAGACAACUUCUUCGUCGUUCCAAUCAAACCAGGAUGCAUCAUUUUGUAAGCAGCUUGAUUUGGAUACAUAAAGUGGUGGAGAAUCAACAGGAAGUUG